RNAcentral lists this long non-coding RNA (55166 nucleotides) under Vitis vinifera (wine grape). Its description in RNAcentral is "long non-coding RNA (VVIN_LNC001600)". Lineage: Eukaryota; Viridiplantae; Streptophyta; Magnoliopsida; Vitales; Vitaceae. The record is from RNAcentral.
UUCCUUGGAUGAAUGUGGGAGCACUUAUAAAUGAGAAGAAUGCUGAAGGACAAACACCUCUCCAUCUGCUUGCCCAUUCCCAACUGAGAUAUCGUCCAGCUUACAUAAAGAACAAGAAAGUAGAUAAGAUGAUACUUAACAGCCAAAACUUGACUGCUAUGGACGUAAUUUCAUCGGCUGAGGAUUUAUAUGGACACAAGGUAAGCCUAUCUAACUCUCAAUUAAUUUUCCAAAUAGCUAGUAAUUGGUGCACAUACAAGUAUGCUAAGUAUAUAUGUCGAAUUAUAAUAUAAUUAGUACUAUUACUAAAUUGAUACUUAGAAUGGUAAAACCAUCAAUUAUAUUACUAAGUCAAAUGAAAUGGUAGUACAUGUUUAGUAUUCAAUAAAAAAGGCAAAGCAAGAGACAACAAGAUUUGACUAAAAUUGAACUAGCCUUUUUAUCACGUUCUACUACACAUUUGCUUUACAACUAGAUGCUCUUUAUGUAGAGCAAAUAAGCAACAGAUAAGUAGGAAUAUGCAACAAACUUCAUUAUCUUCUAAAGACUAGGACAAUCUGAAAACCAGGCACUAUAAAUAAAAAUAUUAAGUAAAUACUUCCAACAGUACAUUAUCAGGCGCAUUGAAGCCAAGCUACUUCAAAUGAUUUGGAGUAUGUAAAAGUAAAAUCAUUAAUAUUGUAUCCUCUAUAUAUAUAUUUUCUAUAAAAUGAUUUGACUGAUUAAAUUUCAGGCUGUUAUUGUACGGCACCUGAAAUGGGCCAAAGCCAGAGUCGGGCCUUUGUUGCGGCAGAAGACUAUGAGCAAAGACAAGGACAACAAAGACGAGGAUAACAACGAAAGAAAACGUAAUAAAGGUUUAGACGUAUCUUUCUUAAAGAAAGCAAGCAAUAGUCAUUUGCUAGUUGCCACACUCGUAGCCACUGUAUCCUUCGGAGCAGGUUUUACAUUGCCCGGUGGGUAUAAUAAUAGUGACGGCACAGCCAUUUUAAGAAAAAAGAUAGCUUUUCAAGCAUUUGUUGCGUUUGAUUUCUUAGCCCUGUUGUCGUCUGUGACUGCUAUAUUGUCUCAUUUUUAUGGUGCACUGAAUCACAAAAAGGCGCAGCUCGCAUCAUCACUAAGCUUGGCCUAUUGGUUCACCCAGUUGGGUAUAGGAGCAAUGAUAGUAGCAUUCAUGAGCGGCGUGUACACCAUGGAUCCACAUCACUCAGGGAUGACCUUUUCUAUUUAUAUCAUCUUCAUCUGCGUUUCGAUUUUCAUCUUAUUCACUGUGGUACGCCAAAUUCAACGUUAAGAAUGCCCGAGCAAGAUUAUGUUGGAAAGUACGUCUGAUUUUGGUAACUUCUUUAAAAUUAGGAUUUAAUUUUUUAUUUCAAAAAAAGUUAAUAAAAUAUUUUCAGUUUGAGUGAGAUUUUGUUUUUAUAUUUAAGUAAUUCAUUUUUCUAUAUUUUAUCAUUCAGAGUUUCUAUUUUGUUAUAUGUAAGGUUGUGUGAUAUUCAACUCAUUUGUCACAAUAAUAUUUUUCUUUUAUUUAGAAGAGAAAAUAUAAGAUCUUGGAAGUAUCCUGGUCCCAUUGAUGACAAGUGGGACCAAUAAUUCGAUCGGGGUAGUUGCUAAACCAUACCACAUAGUUAUAGGUUUGCCUGCCAUCCACACCAAAAUAAAUGGAGUUUUCCAAAAAAAACUUGUUAGGGAAGGAAGACCUCCUAGGGAUAAGAGACAUAAGGCUAAAGAGAAAGCCAAAAAAAGAUGGUGGGCCGCAUUAAAGGCUUUUGUGUUAGCAAAAUCUCUUUCUAUAAAAUGAACUAAUUUCUUACAGGAUGUUGUUCUAAAAUUGUGAUACAUAAAAAUCUUGGGGAGGAUUGAUUGAGGAUGAGGAAAUAAUUGAAAGAAAAUUUUGAAGAAUAUUGUGAUGGGAUGAAGUGGCAAAACAAGAUAGAAAUUUGAUAGUUAUCACAAAAUGCUAUGGUUCUUACAUAUGAUUUCUUAAUUUAUUUAGAAGUAAUUCACGGGAGGAAGAGAAAGGUUGGGAUUCCAACAGGCGUCUAUUAUUGAAUUCACUCGACCCGAUAGUACCCAUUUUGGGAACGUUCGGACAGUAUAAAUUUACCAAUACUUUUCGCUCAGGAUCUGUUGGUAAUUUUCUCUUGAUUUUUCUCUGUUGGUUAUCACUUCUCAUGUAAUCCAAUCCUUUCACUCCAGUGAAUCGAUGUGAUAUCACAUAUAUGGCUGGUAGAAUUUAAGGGUUGUCGCAAAUCAAUUAUCAAAAGAACUUCACAUAGAUAUUGAAAGUGGUAUGUCAAUAUCUUGAUGUGAUUAACCAAAUCAAUUAUCAAAGCAACAAAGGGGUUAACCAAAUCAAACAAAAGGCCCAAACAAUCACACAUGCUAAUGACUAUGGAGGAAAACCUUAAGGUUAACCAUCUCCAUGACUGUAAGAAUCUUUUAUUUGUAGAGCAUUGGUACCAAGGACAACUGUUUGGCACCAAGGAAAGUUGUUUGUCCAUUUUCCUUUGUCUGUUGUCUAUUCACUUAAUUUUCUUUUUUUCUUUCUCUUUUUUGUGUGGGGGUGAAGUGAAGUACUUGUCCAUUUAGCGUGAAUAUCUAGACAAGCCUUUUCCAUGAUGAGAUAAGGAAAUGGGUGGAAAAUAGUUACACAACUUGGCAUAGCAAUGUUUAAAGUAAUUUUAAGAUCAAGUUUAAAUUUAGUACCUAAAUGCUCUUUUUUUUAUAUAUAAAAAAGAAAAUGGAAGUGGAUAUCAUCCCUAGCCAAUUGUUAUAUGUCGAAUUGGUUUUUCUAUUAAAAUUUUCUAUGAAAUUGAUGAAAAAAACUCAUGUGAAAAGUGUACACACUUUAGCAUGAAAUUGUAUAUAAUACAUUACAAUUUGUCCAAAUUUUUUGUGUGUUGAUCAUAUGUUUUCCAUCCAUUUCUAAUAAAAGAAAAAAAAUUAUAAAAGAAAAAAAGAAAAAAGAAAAAACUCACAUUUAACAAUAGUUUAGGGUUAAUAUUGUAACAAGAAAAUUAAGAGCUAGAUUGAGACAUAAGUGUGAAUUCUCAUCACACAAAAAUGUAGACCAAAACUUGUACUUAAUUGUUGGAGGAUGGAGUGUAUAGUUGACCUAGGAUUUAUGUAUAUUGAUAUUCCUCUUUAUUCUCUUAGGAUGAAGGUUGAUAUGUUUCUUGACUAGAGAUGUUAAUGGCAUGAUAUGCAAGAUUUUUAUUCUUGGCAUGCCCCCUUAACCUGGCAUGAGCAUGGACACUUAAUUUGCUUUUAAAUGAUUGAAAGGUGUCCUUAGCUAAUGGUUUUGUAAAAAUGUCAAUAGGUUGAUUUAAGGAUGCAAUAUAUCGUGCAACAAGAUUACCUAAUGUAACUCUUUACCUUACGAAAUGAUAGUCGAGUUCAAUGUGCUUUGACCACACAUGAAACAUCAAGUUAACUGACAUAUAAAGUGCACUAAUAUUGUCAUAAAACAGUUAUGGCAGUUGUGAUAAUGCAACUCCAAUGCCAUAGAGGAGGAAGGUUAAACAUGUUAUUUUAGCUAUUCUAGAGGCCAUGGACUAAUAUUUGGCUUCACAACUAGAUUGGGAUACGGUGGGAUGUUGUUUUUUUUUUUUUUUUUUUGGACACCAAUAAAUGCAAUUCACACCAAGGAAUGCACAAAGCUCAAUGGUACUUCUGUUGGUAUCUUAAAUCUAAAUAACGGAAGUAAUACCAAUUUUAAAAAAUUGAUAUUUAGGGUUAAAGUACUAACCUUUAGGUUUGGAUGUUUCUCAACCUUAAAUUCCAAUUGUUGAAGAAUCAAAUUGAUAUCUUCGGAAGUCUUGUAGACCCAUAAUCUUCCACCCGAUGGCUCUUCCUUGAUUUUGGCACACUUUCGGUGAAAAAGAAGAGAAAGUAGAAGAUAUGACUCUCUCUCUCUCUCUCUCUCUCUCUCUGAAGGUAGAAGACAACUCUAUAGAAACAUUCUAAUCCCUAAAUGGAUAUUUAUAGGGUUCUUCAUUGGGCUAAAGUGACUUAAGUCCACUAAAGGCUUAGGUCACUUAAUCUAGCCCAAAAUGGGUCCUAAUUAAUUAUUUAACCUAACAAGACCUACUAAUUAAUCAAUUAACCCAAUCAAGAUGUCUUGCUCAUUUACCAUUAUGCAACCUUACAUAAUUACCAAAAUACCCUUAUGCACAAAAGUGAACCUAGAGUGAAUCUAACCCUCAUAAAUCGUGUCAACAAGGUAUAUAAGAUUGAGCGAUGACUACUAGGACCCAUAAGACAGUAUCGACUCCCUCAUAAUACAAUUCUAAAACUGAUUCAAUAUCCCACUAUAACAAAAUCAACUACACUCUAGUACUUUAAGCAAAUAACACUAAUACACUAAGAGUUCGAGUAUGUGGCUUAUUGUGCAUUACAUUCAUCUCCCCAUGAACAUAUGUUCGUAGUCUAACAAGCUAAAUGCUAUCAGCCUUUCAAGACUACCUAUACUAUCCUUGAGUUACAAAUCCUCCUAUUGUGUAUUCAAUUGACAUAUCUUGACCCUCAAAAAGCCUAUGUCAAGUUUCAUUUAAGAAACUACUAUGAUCAUAGUUUACAUGAACACACCUUCUUAGGAUCACCCAAAUAGACACUUUAUCUCAAAUUCAUGAAAGUGAGAAUACCUAUUGCUAACAGUUUCCAUCAAUAGCAACUCAAUCCAUAGGGAAUAUAUGAUUAGCUUACGAUCUCAUCCAUAAGGCAAAGUCACUACUAACUUUAGCUCAAACUCAGUAUUCUCUCAAGGUUGAGAGACAACACAAUGAAGCAACAUGAUGAAGUCAUGACCACUUGAUAUGCUUAAGUCAUGACUCACCAUAGGUCCUGUUCAAUGUGUAGUAACCAUACACACCAAUGUACUCACCAUGGGAAACCCAUCUUGAUAGCCAAAAAUACUCAUCCUUCCAAGUAUGAGGUAGUACACUACAACCUCAAAUGGAUUGCCUAAGUCCACAAACCGGUUGUGAACAAAUCAUCUACUUACCACCUAUGACUUGGAUCUUCCGUGCAACUGAUAAUGCAUCUAAGUCAUAUACAAUGCAAAAAAUGCUAAGCGAGAAUUCUUCUAAGGUGUAAUGCAUGGAAUAAGGAUAAAUAAAAGUUAACUUUUAAUGACUCUAUCCUAACAUUCUUCCACUAGCCCAUAAACCAUAAUGCUAUUAAAGCAUAUUGGAUACUGAUUAUCUAAAACCUAUGUUAUCCCUAUGAUCAACAAAGACUCUCCUUGUCAAUGUCUUGAUGAAAGGAUCCACAAGGUUCUCCACAAAAGGUAUCUUGUCAACCAUCAUGUCACCCUUCUAUACUAACUCAACAGUUUGGAAUACAAGUACAUAAUCCCUUGUUCUAUAAAGAUACUUGAUUAUAUGCUUAACAAAGCGUAAUUUUCAUUUUCUUGUAAUCUCCAAGGGCUUUAAACCCAAGAAUAUAUUGUGUUCCUCCUAUAUUUCCAUUUAGAACUAAGUAAAUAAACUAAUCUUAAUUUAUUUAUGAUAAUAUCUCUACAUCAUUUCCAAUGAGUAGAUUGUUAUUUACCCACAAGAUCUUAAAAUACCAUCAUGUUUCCCUGCACUUUCUUAUACAUAUUUGUUAUGAAAUUAUCGGGUUACAUCAUACAAAUGCUAAUAUCAAGAUAAUCAUUUUCGUUCACCAUAUAAGAAUUAUAAAAUUAAUUUUCUUAAAUUUGGCCAAAUAUUAAGGGGUAUACAACAUAUUUGAUUUUUUCUAAUGUGAAGAAUAGUUCUCAAAGAAAAAAAAAAUCAUAUAAAGGGUCACCAAUUCCAAUUAUGUGCUAGGAUAAUACUAUUGGUUGCAAACAGAUGAGUUGUAGAAAAAAAAAAGUAACAAGCUAAGUAAAACAAAUAUUUUUUUCCUUUUGGAGUACAAAAGUUUUUUUUUUUUCCUUCAACUUGCCUAAUCCUCUAGCAAAAUCACAUAUAUCUUGUUUUUUUCCAUUAUAGUGUAAGACAUUAAGGGUCUGUUUGGGAACGUUUUCAAAAAUUAUUUUUAAAAAAUAGUUUUAUCAUGUUUUCUAGAACAAAAGUUUAUUUGAGAAUUUGAAAUGUUUUUAACUUAUUGUCAAUGUUUCCAAAUAUUUUUUUUAAAAAAUUUAUUAAUGAUGCUUCAUUUUCAAUUGUUAUUCAUAUUUGUCCCUUUUUUAAAAAACAACUAAAAAUAACUAAAAUACGUUUUGAGAAAACACCUUAAUUUCUAUUUUUAAAAAUAAUUUUUUUCUAAUUAUCAAACAUAUUUUCUUUUUUUUUUUUCCUUAAAAAAUAGAAAAACAGUUUUGAGAAUAAACAACAAACCAGCUCACCAUAAUACUUUUCUUAGAAAGUAACUUGUUGCAAUCAAACACCUUUUGCCAAAAUAAACCCGUUCUCCAAAAUAAUAAAUUACAUUCUAACAAAUACACCAUGUCAACAUAUUGAUAAUGGUAAAAUCAUUCAUUCAUAUUUUAUAAUCUCAUUAGAAUUAAUUGACUGUAAAAAUAAAAAUAAAAAUGGUAUAAUGAAAUGGUAAGUGGCUGCUAAUUAAUAUCUGUUGUAGUAAUACUAAAGCCUAAAUUACCUAGUAAUUCUGGUUGAAAAAAAAAAAACCAAAUAUAAGAUCAUUAAGGCUUCUAAUAUCUAGGUUGUCAUCUUUUGGGAUCAGCAUUAAUGUGUUUAGUUAUUUAAAUUAAAAAGAUUAAUUGUUUAAUGAAACUAACAAAAACCUUAAUCUAAAAUAUAUAAAGAUAAAAAUAUAAAUGAAGUUUUCUAAAAUAUGAAAACUUCUAAUUCAUUUUAAAAUAGAUAAAAAUUUAUAUGAAUUUUUAAAAUACUAUAACUCAUUAUUAAAGUUCUUCUAAUGUUUUUAUUCAUUUUUAAUGGAAAUAUAUAUUUAUAAUGUUGGUAUAAAUGAGUUUGUAAAGUAGAAGAGAUUAAAAAAUUAAAAAGGAAAAAAAAAACGGUGCACAUGAUCUAAAGAUGAGUGAAUUUGUAACAUUAAAAAAUUAAAAAGAAAAGAAAAGAAAAAGAUACAUUUGGGAACAUGGAUAAAAAAAAUUAAAAAUAAUACUUGAGAGGUAGAUGUAGCAAUAGAUAUAAGUUUAUAAAGUAUAUCCACAGCAUACUUAGGGAGCUACUAUUUUUGGGCACUUGGGGAUGAUUAUUUUGGGUUUUGGGCCUAUGAGUCAUAUACUUCAAAGUUCAAAGUAAUGUCACCAAAUGUUAUUAUUAUUAUUAUUAUUUUCAAAAUUGGGCCUUUUAAUUGUAAUACUUAACAAUAAUCACCAAAUUCACUACAUAUAGACAUGCAAGAAGAGUUUCAUGAAAGUUAGGAAUAACAUCAAAGUAAGAGUGAGUUUGAGACAGGUGUUGUAACACCCGGACAUUUUCUUUUAAGGGUAAUUUAGGAAAUUAUUAUUACUAAUUAAAUUAAUUAAUUAAUUAAUUUAAUAAAGUGGAAGAGGGGUAAAAGUAUAAUUUUACGAAUAAAUACCCUAGGUAUAAAUUAGAAAUUUUAUUCUUUCCCUUCUUUUCUGAAUAGAGUUCCUGUUCGCAGAAUUCCAGAGAACGUAAGGUUGGAGUCAGAUUUCAGGGUUGAAGAACAAAUCUCUAUAGGUAAGAUUCUAACCCCUAGUUUAAUAUUUUAGAUUCAUUAGUUAAUUUCAAACACAUUAGAUAUAUUUUUUUUGGAAAACCCCAAAUCUAGAUUAGGGUUAGAUUAUUUUUUUUAAUUCGUUUUAAUAUCAAAUAGUGAAAAUUUAAUAUUUUGAUUUUAGUAUUGGAAUUUGGGAGAUCUUAAGUUUUAUUAGAAAAAAAAAAAUUGCUUGGAAUAUUUUGAUUUUAGGUUAGGGUUAAUUAAAAAAAAAUAAAAAAAUAAUAAUAAUAAAAAAAUAAAAAUGAGGAAGAACGCGUGUGCACUGGAAGGAAGGAAGGAAGGAAAAAAAAAAAAAUGGGGGCAUGCGUACUGUGCUACUGGAAGCAUUAAAAAAAAAGAAAAAAAAAAAAAAGAAAAAGUGUGUGCGUGUGCCAGCCUGCAUGUAUAUGUGUAUAUAUAUAUAUAUAUAUAUAUAUAUAUAUAUAUAUAUAUAUAUAUAUAUAUAUAUAUAUAUAUAUAAUGAAUCAUCAUUAGACAAAAAAAAAAAAAAAAAAACUUUGCUUUUUGGUGUGUACCCGAGGAAUGGUUGGGUGGAAAAACCUUACUUUUUGGUGUGUACCCGAGGGAUGGUUAGGUGGCUUUUGAAUUGAUUAAUUAAAAUAAUAAUAUUUAGUUUUAGAUUUAUAAUUAAGAUAAUAGUAAUAAUAGAUUUAGCAAUAUAUAUAUAUAUAUAUAUAUAUAUAGAGUUUUAUAAUGAAAUAAAAUUGUAAUUUAAUUAAAUUAGUAGUGUGUUAUUAGAAACAAAUUGGGAAUUUAUUAGUUUUAUUUAAAUAAGGAAUAGAUUAGUUAAAUUAUAAAUAAAUAGUAUUAAUUGUUUCUCUUAUAUUAUAUUAGGUGAAGAGUAGAUUAUAUCUUUUUCAGAAUUAUUCUUCUCCCAAGCUUUCAAGGACUUCUUUUGAGGUAAGGGAAGUUAAUGCAAUAUUUAUAAAAUUAAAUUAUUUUAUAUGUUAUUUUGAAUUGUGGAAAAUAAAAUUAUAUUUUGUUACCAUGCAUGGAUCAAAUUGUUUUGCACUAAAUAUUAUGUUGGAAUAUUUUGUUUUAUUUAUGAUACAAAAUAUGGAGAUAUUAUGUUGUGUAAAUUUGAAUACUUGAACAAAAACAUCACUCUGGUUUAUUUGGCCCUUGUCAACCGGAUAUAAUAGUUGACUAUUCGGCCCUGUCAACGGGAUAUAAUAGUUGACCUUUACAUUUCAUGGUGGGAAUGUAAUUGAUUUGAACCCCAGCCUCUAGGGGUUUGGUUAGAGGUUACUAGUACUAGUAGUGUUUGGUUCCGUCCACCAGAAACAAUUUGAGGCUAGCCACCCAUUUGAAAAGUCCCACCUAACUGGGCAUUUGAUAUUUGAUAACCAGAGUAAUGAAAAAUUGAAUGGAUUUGAUUGAGUCUGAUGUGAAAGUGUUUGAAUUUGAUGUGAAAUUGGUUGGUUGAAUUUUGAAUAUAUUGGUAUUUUUGAAACUCUAAUAUUUGAAAAAAAAAAAUUGAUAUCUCCUAUUUGAAAUGAAAAUAUUUGAUCCAUGAAUUGCAUUAAUAUUCCUUAUUGGGCCGUGAGCUCAUUCCCAGUUGUUGAAAAUUUUUCAGGUACUCUUAGUUCGGGUGAGGAGUGAUGGCUAGGCUGAGGAAUGGUCAUCAUUAGGAUUUGACUUAGGAUUUUAUGUUGGAUUUUGUUUAACUAUUAGUUAUGUUAUUUUGGAUCAUUUGGUAUUUGGAAGUUAUUUGGAAAUUGAAUUUUGAGGAUUUUAGAUUUUGUUUCCGCUACUCUGAGCAGAUAUUUGGUAAUUGGUAACAUCCAGUUACAAUAUGACCAUUUGGGUCAGAUUAUACUUUAAGCCUUCGGGUUUGAGGUGUGAAAUGACCGUCACGCCCUUGGAGUGGGUCUUGGGGCGUGACAGNNNNNNNNNNNNNNNNNNNNNNNNNNNNNNNNNNNNNNNNNNNNNNNNNNNNNNNNNNNNNNNNNNNNNNNNNNNNNNNNNNNNNNNNNNNNNNNNNNNNUUUUUCAGGUACUCUUAGUUCGGGUGAGGAGUGAUGGCUAGGCUGAGGAAUGGUCAUCAUUAGGAUUUGACUUAGGAUUUUAUGUUGGAUUUUGUUUAACUAUUAGUUAUGUUAUUUUGGAUCAUUUGGUAUUUGGAAGUUAUUUGGAAAUUGAAUUUUGAGGAUUUUAGAUUUUGUUUCCGCUACUCUGAGCAGAUAUUUGGUAAUUGGUAACAUCCAGUUACAAUAUGACCAUUUGGGUCAGAUUAUACUUUAAGCCUUCGGGUUUGAGGUGUGAAAUGACCGUCACGCCCUUGGAGUGGGUCUUGGGGCGUGACAGAGUGGUAUCAGAGCACUAGGUUGUGAUCUUGAUGGGAACUUGUUUAGUGUACCUUUGGGAAUAGAUGAGUGACGUAUUAGUUUAAGUUUCAACUUCAUCUAGUCUGAUUCCUUUUAUUCCUUACAAUUCUGACUUGCUUAUUUGACUUCUUAGUGACUAAUUUAGUUACACCUAUUGCUUUAUAGGACACCAUGCCACCAAGGAGACCUGCAUCUUCCCAAAACAGUCAGGCUAAUGAUGAUGUACCUCCAAUUGAGGGUUUGCCUCCCGUGAGUGCAGAAGGGAUCUAUAGGUAUCUUGGGACACUAGCUGGUUUAGUUGAACGCCAAGCUCGAGCUGUUGGGACUAAUGUUCAGGGACAGUCUUCAUCUUUUAGGGGUAGCUCUUUUGAUGACUUCAAGAAAUUGGGUCCUCCUUACUUUUCUGGUGCUACAGAUCCCACAGAGGCAGAGGCUUGGAUCCUUAAGAUGGAGAAAUUCUUUGGUGUCAUAGAUUGCUCUGAGGAGCAAAAAGCCUCUUAUGCAGCUUUUAUGUUAGAUAAAGAGGCAGAUCAUUGGUGGCGUAUGACUAGGAGACUUUUGGAGGAUCAGGGGCCCAUAACAUGGAGACAAUUUAGGGAGGCUUUCUACAAGAAGUAUUUCCCUGACAGUGUUAGACGGCAGAAGGUGGGAGAGUUUAUUCGUUUGGAACAGGGGGAUAUGACUGUGGCUCAGUAUGAGGCCAAAUUUACAGAGUUAUCACGUUUUUCCCCACAGUUGAUUGCUAUAGAGGAGGAAAAGGCAUUAAAGUUUCAGGAUGGAUUGAAGCCUUAUUUGAAGAACAAGAUAUCUAUUCUGAAGCUUGGUGUCUAUUCAGAGGUUGUUGAUAGAGCCCUUAUAGCAGAGAAAGAUAAUGAAGAGCUUCAUCAGUAUAGGGAACAGCAAAGGAAGCGAAAUAGGAGUGAUGGUGCUCAUGGUAAUCAAGCACAGCGAAGGUCUACAUCAGGAAGAAAUCAGAAUAAAGGGAAGGCAGCGUAGAAUUUAGAUGGGGCUUGUCCUACUUGUGGUAAGAAGCAUGGGGGUAGGCCAUGCUAUAGAGAGACUGGAGCUUGCUUUGGUUGUGGGAAGUAAGGACAUUUGAUCAGAGAUUGUCCAGAGAAUAGGAAGUUUAUCAUUGGGAAGCCUAAAGAGGAAAAUAAGGAGGAUAAACAGAAACCCAAAGCCCAAGGACGGGUGUUUGCUAUGACUCAUCGAGAUGCUCAGGCCACUUCUGAUGUGGUGACAGGUACUCUCCGAAUCCACACCUUAUUUGCUAGAGUCUUGAUUGAUCCUGGAUCAACACAUUCUUUUGUUUCAGUAUCUUUUGCUGGUUUGUUGGGUUUGCCUGUUGCUAGCAUGGACUUUAAUUUGAUUGUUGCUACUCCUGUGGGAGAUUCUGUUGUGGCUAGUAGAAUGCUUAGAAAUUGUAUUGUGAUGAUUGGUUAUAGGGAAAUGCCAGUUGAUUUAGUACUCCUUGACCUUCAGGAUUUUGAUGUGAUUUUGGGGAUGGAUUGGUUAGCUUCCUACCAUGCCUCUGUUGAUUGUUUUGAGAAAAGGGUGACGUUUAGUAUUCCUGGUCAGCCUAAUUUUAGCUUUGAAGGGAAGCAGGUGGACAGACCACUGCGUAUGAUCUCAGCCUUGCGAGCUAGUAGCUUGCUUAAGAAGGGUUGCCAAGGAUUUUUGGCUAGUGUGGUGAGUAAUGAAAGUGAUUUGAAGUUGGAAGACAUACCCAUAGUAAGGGAGUAUCCUGAUGUCUUUCCAGAGGAUUUGCCUGGCUUGCCACCAGAGAGAGAGGUGGAGUUCACUAUCGAUUUGGUACCAGGAACAGGUCCUAUGUCUAAGGCCCCAUACAGGAUNNNNNNNNNNNNNNNNNNNNNNNNNNNNNNNNNNNNNNNNNNNNNNNNNNNNNNNNNNNNNNNNNNNNNNNNNNNNNNNNNNNNNNNNNNNNNNNNNNNNGCGUGAUAUUGCACAAUUUGUGGCUCAGUGUUUAGUGUGUCAACAGGUGAAGGCUGAACAUCAGCGACCAGCAGGGUCUUUACAGCCACUUGCUAUUCCUGAGUGGAAGUGGGAGCAUAUUACCAUGGAUUUUGUGAUAGGAUUGCCAAGAACCUUAGGGGGGUAAUAAUGCUAUUUGGGUGAUUGUUGAUCGGUUGACAAAGUCUGCUCACUUUUUGCCUAUGAAAGUCAACUUUUCUUUAGAUCGUUUAGCUUCUCUUUAUGUGAAGGAGAUUGUGAGAAUGCAUGGAGUACCAGUUUCUAUAGUGUCUGACAGAGAUCCUCGUUUCACUUCUAGAUUCUGGCAUAGUCUACAAAAAGCUUUGGGCACUAAGUUGAGUUUUAGUACUGCUUUCCAUCCUCAAACUGAUGGCCAAUCAGAAAGGGUAAUUCAGGUUUUGGAAGACUUGUUGAGAGCUUGUAUUUUGGACCUGCAAGGUAAUUGGGAUGAUCAUUUACCUUUAGUAGAGUUUGCCUAUAACAAUAGUUUUCAAGCUAGCAUUGGGAUGACACCUUUUGAGGCAUUGUAUGGUAGGAAAUGUCGAUCUCCUAUCUGUUGGAAUGAUGUUGGAGAAAGGAAACUUUUGGGCCCUGAACUUGUGCAGUUGACUGUUGAAAAAGUUGCUUUGAUUAAAGAGAGAUUAAAAGCAGCUCAAAGUAGACAUAAGAGUUAUGCUGAUCAUCGUAGGCGAGAUUUGGAGUUUGAGGUGGGUGAUCAUGUGUUCUUGAAAGUUUCACCUAUGAAGUCUGUGAUGAGAUUUGGGAGAAAAGGAAAACUUAGUCCUCGUUUUGUGGGUCCGUUUGAAAUAUUAGAAAGAGUAGGCACUUUGGCAUAUAAAGUAGCCUUGCCCCCAAGCCUGUCUAAGGUUCAUAAUGUGUUUCAUGUUUCGACUCUAAUUAAGGAAGUAUAUUUAUGAUCCUUCUCAUGUUGUGGAGUUGGAGCCUAUUCAAAUUUUUGAGGACUUGACCUAUGAAGAGGUACCCGUUCAAAUUGUGGAUGUGAUGGAUAAGGUACUACGACAUGCUGUUGUCAAGUUGGUAAAGGUCCAGUGGAGCAAUCAUAGUAUCCGAGAGGCCACUUGGGAGUUAGAAGAAGAGAUGAGAGAAAAGCAUCCUCAAUUAUUUCAAGACUUAGGUAUGUCAAGUUUAGAGGACUAAACUUUUGUUAAGGAGGGGAGGAUGUAACACCCGGGCAUUUUCUUUUAAGGGUAAUUUAGGAAAUUGUUAUUACUAAUUAAAUUAAUUAAUUAAUUAAUUUAAUAAAGUGGAAGAGGGGUAAAAGUGUAAUUUUACGAAUAAAUACCCUAGGUAUAAAUUAGAAAUUUUAUUCUUUCCCUUCUUUUCUGAAUAGAGUUCCUGUUCGCAGAAUUCCAGAGAACGUAAGGUUGGAGUCAGAUUUCAGGGUUGAAGAACAAAUCUCUAUAGGUAAGAUUCUAACCCCUAGUUUAAUAUUUUAGAUUCAUUAGUUAAUUUCAAAUACAUUAGAUAUUUUUUUUUUUGGAAAACCCCAAAUCUAUAUUAGGGUUAGAUUAUUUUUUUUAAUUCGUUUUAAUAUCAAAUAGUGAAAAUUUAAUAUUUUUAUUUUAGUAUUGGAAUCUGGGAGAUCUUAAGUUUUAUUAGAAAAAAAAAAAAAUUGCUUGGAAUAUUUUGAUUUUAGGUUAGGGUUAAUUAAAAAUAAUAAUAAUAAUAAUAAUAAUAAUAAUAAUAAUAAUAAAAAGGAGGAAGAACGCGUGUGCACUGGAAGGAAGGAAGGAAGGAAAAAAAAAAAAAUGGGGGCAUGCGUACUGUGCUACUGGAAGCAUUAAAAAAAAAAGAAAAAAAAAAAAAAGAAAAAGUGUGUGCGUGUGCCAGCCUGCAUGUAUAUGUGUGUAUAUAUAUAUAUAUAUAUAUAAUGAAUCAUCAUUAGACAAAAAAAAAAAAAAAACUUUGCUUUUUGGUGUGUACCCGAGGAAUGGUUGGGUGGAAAAACCUUACUUUUUGGUGUGUACCCGAGGGAUGGUUAGGUGGCUUUUGAAUUGAUUAAUUAAAAUAAUAAUAUUUAGUUUUAGAUUUAUAAUUAAGAUAAUAGUAAUAAUAGAUUUAGCAAUAUAUAUAUAUAUAUAUAUAUAUAUAUAUAUAUAUAUAUAUAUAUAUAGAGUUUUAUAAUGAAAUAAAAUUGUAAUUUAAUUAAAUUAGUAGUGUGUUAUUAGAAACAAAUUGGGAAUUUAUUAGUUUUAUUUAAAUAAGGAAUAGAUUAGUUAAAUUAUAAAUAAAUAGUAUUAAUUGUUUCUCUUAUAUUAUAUUAGGUGAAGAGUAGAUUAUAUCUUUUUCAGAAUUAUUCUUCUCCCAAGCUUUCAAGGACUUCUUUUGAGGUAAGGGAAGUUAAUGCAAUAUUUAUAAAAUUAAAUUAUUUUAUAUGUUAUUUUGAAUUGUGGAAAAUAAAAUUAUAUUUUGUUACCAUGCAUGGAUCAAAUUGUUUUGCACUAAAUAUUAUGUUGGAAUAUUUUGUUUUAUUUAUGAUACAAAAUAUGGAGAUAUUAUGUUGUGUAAAUUUGAAUACUUGAACAAAAACAUCACUCUGGUUUAUUUGGCCCUUGUUAACGGGAUAUAAUAGUUGACUAUUCGGCCCUGUCAACGGGAUAUAAUAGUUGACCUUUACAUUUCAUGGUGGGAAUGUAAUUGAUUUGAACCCCAGCCUCUAGGGGUUUGGUUAGAGGUUACUAGUACUAGUAGUGUUUGGUUCCGUCCACCAGGAACAAUUUGAGGCUAGCCACCCAUUUGAAAAGUCCCACCUAACUGGGCAUUUGAUAUUUGAUAACCAGAGUAAUGAAAAAUUGAAUGGAUUUGAUUGAGUAUGAUGUGAAAGUGUUUGAAUUUGAUGUGAAAUUGGUUGGUUGAAUUUUGAAUAUAUUGGUAUUUUUGAAACUCUAAUAUUUGAAAAAAAAAAAAAUUGAUAUCUCCUAUUUGAAAUGAAAAUAUUUGAUCCAUGAAUUGCAUUAAUAUUCCUUAUUGGGCCGUGAGCUCAUUCCCAGUUGUUGAAAAUUUUUCAGGUACUCUUAGUUCGGGUGAGGAGUGAUGGCUAGGCUGAGGAAUGGUCAUCAUUAGGAUUUGACUUAGGAUUUUAUGUUGGAUUUUGUUUAACUAUUAGUUAUGUUAUUUUGGAUCAUUUGGUAUUUGGAAGUUAUUUGGAAAUUGAAUUUUGAGGAUUUUAGAUUUUGUUUCCGCUACUCUGAGCAGAUAUUUGGUAAUUAGUAACAUCCAGUUACAAUGUGACCAUUUGGGUCAGAUUAUACUUUAAGCUUUCGGGUUUGAGGUGUGAAAUGACCGUCACGCCCUUGGAGUGGGUCUUGGGGCGUGACAGGUGUACCCCAUUUCGACUUCAUCCCCUUUAUGUAAACCUAUUCUCAUCCUCAUUUUAAUAAAAGAUUAAAAUGGGGUAAGACAAAAUGGGUAUGAAAUUUUUCUAUAUCCAACCCCUUUAUUUUUAAUUUUUUAUUUUAAAAAUCCUAAUUAUAUUAAAAAUAAUAUAUUUGAUGAAUGAAUAAAUAAUAUAAAUUUUUAUAACUCAUUUUUAUUUGAGAAGUAGAUUAUUAUUAUUUUUUUUUGAAAAUGAGAAAAUAAAAAUUUUAUAAAAUUAUACACGAGGUAAGACAAGGCAAUUGUUGUAAUCAUAGGGUUUAAAAAAAAAAAAAUCUCAAAGUUAAACCUCAUCCGCUUAAUUUCAUCCCAAACUCAUUUUAUUUUUGACAAGGUGAGGCUAAUACCCUAAAAUUCUCAGCUCCAUUGACAUUCCAAAUGGAUGUGGAGACAUAAAAGAUAAUAGGGUUCUAUGCUACUACAACAAAAGUAAUUUCGAACGAAACUAUUGUUAAAAAUACUCCAAAUUAACCAGUGCUAUAUAACUUUAGACAUUAAUUUUUAUGGUACUUUUACCCAUAAUUUUACACAAUGAUUUCAAAUACUAUUUGCAAUAGGCUUAUUGAUCUAAAGCCAUCUUCCAAAAGCAAUAUAAACUCUGAGCUGAUUAAUGAAAAUAGAAAUUCAAGGAAAAUUCUCCAAAUAUGUCCAAAUAUCACCAUGAUCCGAAGAUAUUUUGUAUAGAAUACUAGUUUAGAUGAUUAAAGAUAGUUUGUAUAAAACAUUGGUCUCCAUUUUGAAAGAUAUAUAUUUUGUACAAAGAGAAUUGGUGCUUGUUGGCUUCUUCUUUUUGUUUUUGUUUCUUCUUUUCUUGACUCCUUGAGGGGUCCAUGAUGGAAAAGCUUCCAAAUUCAUUUUUGUCCAUGAUCUCCUGGUCCAAAAUAUUAAUCAAAUAUAAUAUGUCCAACAAGAUUAGCGGAUAUGUUUAACCACAUCCACAUCCACAUCCACAUCCAAGGUAAGUUAGUAGAUUCUUCAUUGCACUGUAAAGAACUCAAUUGAAAGAGAAAACACAUCCAAAUCUUGAGCACUAAAAUAUUUCCUAUUUUCCGAUUUGCCUUAAAUUAUGAGCUUUGUUCCAUCCCAUAUCUCCCACCUUUUCUCAUUAUCUCAUAAAGCAAGACCUAAAAUAUUUAUGAAAUAUUUCUAUCACAUUUACUCAUCUAUAAGGAAACAUAUUUCUAUAAUAAAACAUAUUUUUAUAAAUAAAUAUGAAUAUAUAAAAUAUUUUAUACAAUAUUAAUCUUUAUUAAAGCAAUAUAUAUAUACUAAAAAAGAAUUUAAGACAAUUUUUAGUAAUUUCCAUGCCUUGAUUCAAAUUUCAUCAAAUCAGUUUUUCAUCUUAAGGUGAUAUAUAGUACAUCAAGUUAACUAAAGUGGCUUCAUCCUUUUCCAACACAAAAAAAAAAAAAAAAAAAAAAAAAAAUCCAAAAGAGAUAAAAAUUGAAUAGGAGUGUUUGGCUUGAAAAAAGGAAAUAGAAUGGAAGCAAAAAGUAACAAAAAAACUAUAUAUAAAAAGGAAUCUUAUUUUAUUGUAUAUAAAAGUUGAAGAAAAGAAAAUCAAAUCAUGAGAACCAAAUUUUCCAAACCUUUAAUUAAAAAGAAAAGAAGAAGAAGAAGAAGAAAACCUUUUAAGAUUUUUCUUUUUUCUUUUUUUUCUUUUCUUUUCCCUAUUAUAAAAACAUAAGAAAUCAGUUUAAAAAAAAAAAGUCAUUUUCAAGGUACUUUCAGAACCAAACAUAGUGUAGAAGUUAACAAAGAUAAAUUUAAAGUUUAAUAGCUUUAAAUUAUUUCACAUUCUCAUAAGCGACCAUAGGACAAAAAACUUCCCGUCACUAUUGACCUAUGAAAUACUUAGAAUCUUCAAGAUAGAUUAUAAUAGUUCAGUUGCAAUCUGAUGAUUUUUCCAGUAAUUGAUUGGAUUAAUUAAUAGUUCACUAGCUAUAAUAAUUCAGUUCAUUGGAUUAAUUAAUAGUUCCAUAGUUAUAAUUGUGAUUAUAUGAAUACUACUUACAAGGAGCUGAAUAGUUGUAUUAGGCUUAAUGAAUGGGUUAUUUUCCAUACUUUUUGUUGUUGGGUACCGGCAUUUCCUCUAAAGCCAAACAAAGUAUUUUAUUGUCUACGAAUUCAUGUGGUAAUAUUGUGGUUAAGGGUUUAAGAUUUAUUUAUUUUGUUUGAUUAUUGAGAUAUAUUUAAUUCACUUCAUAAAAUAGACCCUAAAAGUGGGGAGAUUCUUUUUCGUUUUCUUUUUCCUUUCCUUCUCUAAUAUGCUACUCUGAUCAUCACUUUUUGAUUAUAGAGACUGAGAUCAUCGAAUGGCUCAACAAGAAGACUCAGUUGUCUGCUGCAUUUGUUAAAAGAUGGAACAUUAGAACUCUGGAAUCUGGUAGUGGAAAUAGAAGUCAUUACCUGUUUGUUUGUCCGGACAGAUUUGUAGGUUUAGAUCUUGAGAACUUAUGUCAAUGUGGUUUAAAUAUCAAGGGUUAGAUCAAAUCUGUAUCUGAACUUGUAAUUUUUGCUGCUUGGAUGUGGAUAUGAACUUGUUGGUCCAAACAACUGGUCAGACAACUUUAGGACUAGUUACAUCCAUAUCUCACAGGAAUAGAGGAAAAAACUUUUAACAUUAUAUUAAUAUAAACUCUUCUUAAUUUUAUGAACACGUUUUAAAAUCAUAAGAGUCCCUUUAGGCUUAGUGUGGAUGAUAUCCAUACGGUUGGGAGUGAGCCAAUAAAUGGUAUUAAAACCAAUUAAUAUUCGAUCCAAAUAUGGGGGUUUAUUUGAUCUUUUGUAGAAAGGUGUACAUCUAUUUGGCAUGAUAAGUAUAGAAGGUGAUUGUGAUAUCCCACUUUUGAUGAGGGAAAAAAUUUCUUAUGCACUAUACUCCUCUUAAUUUUAUAAACAUGCUUUAAAGUUAAAAAUGUGAGAUAGCAAGGAACUAAAGUUAUUUUGCAUAGUAUAAAUAAGUAUUAAUAUGAGAAUAAAUUAGAAACAAUUAUCAAGUGUUGUCAAUAACAAAAUCCUUUUUAAAAAUCCAAGUAGGAAAAAAUGUUUUCUUAAUUUAUUCUCAUAUAAUGCAAUAAUUUCUAAAGUAUUCUUCAUAUUUUAAAUUAUUUGUUAUAAUACUCGACAAAAAUAAUUUAACAAAAUAUCUUAAAACACUUUAAAUUCGUUUUGAAAUAUAACUUAUUUUACAAAAAAAAAAAUGUUAAACAAACUCUUUUCAAUAAAAAAAAAUUGUUAAACAUAUUUUGUGAUGUCUUACGUCGAAUAGAGGAGAAAGCUCCUAGUAUUAUAUAAGUAUGAACUCCUUUUAAUCCUAUAAACAUAUUUUAAAGUUGUGAGGGCCCCUUUGGACUUAAAGCGAACGAUAUCUACAUAGUUGAGUGCAGAUCGUUACAAAUUAGUCCAUUUUUGUCUCAUAUUUAAAUUAGCUAAUUAACUUGAUUUCCAUUAUAAGGACCCAACUAGUGGCAUUUCAAAUAUAAAUCAAUAUCAAAUAUUAAUAUUGAUAAAGGCAAGGUAUCUACUAUAUCAAAGUGGUAGAAGUAUCUUAAUGUCUUAUCACCUUUGUCAAGAUGCAUGUAUUGGCUUUACCACCUUAUUAAGAUGUAUGUGUUAAUAUCCUUAAGGCUUUAUCAUACAAAUGAAAACAACAAGUGGAAAUAUGUUAUAACACAACAAUUGUUUUUCUAACAACAAUUGUUUUUUUGGAAAUGAGUGGUCCCUUUCAACUUAGGUUCAUAAUCAUAGAUAUUUUGUAUAGCUUAUGUCUAUUUUCAGAGAUAUUUUAUGUACAAUAUUGGUUGUAAUAUAUAUAUAUAUAUAUAUAUAUGGAGUCAGAAAAUACACAAGAUAUUUAACACAAGAAAUUUAAAGAGAAGGAACCAAAAACUUGUUAGUUCAUAAGCUUAAAACCAUCCAUGAUAGGAGGUACAAGAAGAUAAAAUGAAAAACAAAACUUAAUUAAAAACCAUCCAUAUUAGAGGUAAUCAAAACAUACUUAUAUUAUACAUAAGGAGAUGAAUAUCUUACAAUGGAAGAGGGGAGGAAAGCUUUGAGAAAAGCUUGAAGGCUUGAAGGCUUACAUGAUGAGAGAGAAAGAAGAGAAAAGAAAGAGCAUAAGGAAGGGAAAAUUACAGCCAAAUUUUUUCAUGCUUACAAAUGAGGAUCAAGCCUCCUUAAAUAGCUAAAAGGAAUCUUAAAAUAGUAAAAAGUAGCUGAUAGGGUACUAUUUGCUUUUGGCCAUAGUGGUGAAUAGUAAACCCGUGCUUGAAUAGUAAAAGUGAACAGUAAAAAAGGAACUGUAGCACUUUAGACUUCUUGACCUGGAAUCUUGCUUUCGGCUGACAGCUGGUAGGCUAGAUUAUAGACUGUGUAUUCACAUGCUGGGAAUAAAGCUGAAAACGACUUGGAAAGAGUAAACUUGUCUUGUUGCUGAAGAAUCACGAGAAAAAUGCUUAGGGUAGAGUAUAAUCCUUCCGAUGUUCAUCCAGAAGCUUAACAUCACCCGUAACAGUCUUUAUAGAUGGAGGAUCAAUUUCUUACUGUAGAAGAUUUGUUGAAGAGGAUCUGCAGCAACAAGAAAUCUCAUACCUUUUGGAUAUGCUUUAAAAUCUCUACUAAUGACUCUUGCUCUCCAAUGCUUGAUAUGCUUAAUAAGGGGUUCUGCACAAAUGUUAGAGAACUAUAAAGGGCAAGAAAUCUUGGUAGGCCUUCUGUUUUGGUAAUGGAAAGAAGCAAUGUGUUGUGCUGGUAGAAGAUUCCCAUUAGAGGACCACUCAGGAGCCUUGCUGAUGAUAAUGGCAUCAGCAAACUUUUUAUUCAUCUUAAAACCUUGAGUUAAACCAAAAACCAUCUUUCUUCCAAACUUUGAAGCUUGACAUGGAUCCGAGCAAAUGAUUUGGUGGACUAAUCCAUAAUCCAGAAGUAAUUCUGGAGUUAAGAUCAAAUCCUGGUCUUUAAAAGGAAGGAUGAUUGGCAGGUAAUAUUGCAAAUCAUGACAUACCCGACUGAUUGUGAAAUUUCUAUUGCAAUUGCAAGACAUCUCCUUAAGGCCUUGUUGAUAUUGAAUAGGAUCUUUGAUAGUUCUGCAAAGUUUAGAGUCAUCAAAUUCCCUAUCCAUGACCAAACUUAAACUUGGGAUCCGAAUACCAAUAGUAGCGAAUAGGUAGAUGUGAAGAUCCUGGAGGUAUGCUGAGAUGAAGACUUGCUUUUCUUCAGCAGUUGCUUUGGCUUUUUCAAAGAUUAAGAGACGUAGAUCCUGUUUAAGGGGAUACAACAUUUCUUUCCUAUGAAAAAACAUCCUUAUCUUAAGGUAGUUCCACUCAUCCUCACUCAACUUUUUUACUUCAUCCACCAGUGGGGUGGACUGCUUAUUCUCAUCAAUUUCCAGUGGGGAAACUAAGGCUAGGGCAUUUAACAUGAGCUGAUGAAAGUCAACUAAUUCUAGUUUUCUUUCCAAAGUCUGACAUUUUUCCUGUAGAUUAGUGAUACAAUUAAUAUAAUAAGAUAAAGGGUUAAGAUGGAUUUGUGGACAAGGAAUCUUCCACAGAAGGUGGAGAAUCCAAACUUGAAUCUUUUUCCCUACAAGGGGAAGCUGAAGGAAAAGGAUGUUUGGAGUAGCUGCAAGAACCUGCAACAUCAAAAUGAUCAUAAUAGAGUGACAUGAAUUUCUCAGGAAGAACUGGAUGGGCUUUCUUAAUAUUUGAAGAUUUUUUAUUUAGUUUAAGAGGUUGUUUCUCUUUUUUGGGGGCCAUGUUCUUGUGAAUCCUGCUAAAAAUUCAUGAAUUAGGAAAUCAGGGAUUGAGUUAUUUUCUCCUUUAAUAUACUCAAUUUGAAAAUCAAAAUUGCUUAAAAUAGCUUGCCAUCUAGCAAAAAUAUGCUUAAAAGCUAUAUUCUUAACUCUUUUUGUAAAACUGAUUUUGCAGAUAAGCAAUCAACUCUUAAUAAAAAUUCUUGAUUUAAAAGAUCAUCUUGAAAUUUUGAAAUGCAUAAGACAAUGCUUAAAAUUUCUUUUUUAAUGGUGCUAUAGUUGAGUUGGGUACUAUUCCAAGUUCCAGAAGUAUACCUAACCAACUUUUCUUGGGUAUCAAUUUUCUGCUUAAGAAUACCACCAUAUCCCAUAUCUGAGGCAUCAGUCUCAACAAUCUUAAAGGCUAUUGGGUCAGCUAGGGCAAGACACGAUAGGGUCUUAACUCUAGAUUUGACAAUCUUGACAAUCUUGGUAUUGUAGACCCUCAAUUUUGUCCAUUUAGCACAUGUCUUUAAACUCGCUUUCGGUGCUCCACAAUAGUUCCUUGGUGGCCCAUUACUACUCGUACAACUUACCUUUUUCUGAGUCACCCCGGAGAUUUUGGUUGAGGGAUUAUCUGGCUCCUUAUUGUGACCUUUGGCAACCCUAAUUUAGACUUAGACUUUUCAUUCACUUAGGAUAGUUUUAGAUACACUUGGCCCAUUAGACACCACCCUAGGCCCACUUAGGCCCAUUUAGGCACACUUGGCACAUUAAGACUUUUUAGCGUGACGUGUAUAACUUGCAUGUUUGCAUGGCUUGUGGGGCUCAGUUUUUUGUUUAUUUUUAUUUUUAUUUUUAGUUUUAGUUUUAAGAUUAUCAACCACUCGUUUAUUAUUUAUUUAUUUAUUUUUAUUUGUUAUCUCCCUCUUUAUAUUAUUUUUCCUUAACUUAUUUAUUUAUUAUUGUUUUACUGUUUCUAAUUUGUUUAUUUAUUUAGUUAUUCAUUCAAUUAUUCACUUUCAAAAAUUUCAUGCUUUUGCAAGGAAACUUACCAUUGGAGUUUAAGGAAAGUGGGGCUCUCCAUGGAAGGAUUUUUGGAGGGGAAUUUGAAAUUGGGAAGAUUGCUUUUGAAGGAGGAGAUUGAAAAAAAGGAAAAGAAGAAAAGAAGGGAAAGAGGAGAAUUUUCCUUUUCAGGAACAAAUUUAGGAUUUGAGAGGUGAUAUAUAUAUAUAUAUGUGAGAGAGGAUGUUGAAAAAGAAGGAGGGAAUUCUGAGGAUUUUGGGAGAAAGCACAGAGGAGCAAAAAAAAAAAUCUAGGUAUGUUUCUCGUUACUUUUGGAAUUCUCACCCAUAUCCGAUUUUUUUUUUUUUUUUUUUUUUAUGUUUAAUAUACUGUUCUUUGGUGUGGACGGAAAGAGCCACAAUUUGUUUUGUUGAUAUUGGUUAUUUGCUUGUUUGCUUCGAAUCUGUUCCUGAUCAUCCUCCCACUGAUUCGAGCCCGUUGAAUGAAAUUUGAAAUGGGGCUUUCAUGGGUUCCUUAAUUUUACCUUUUUUUUUGUGUUGUUUUCAUUCUUCACACUCUGUUUUCUCGGUUGUAUCCCUCUGUUCUCCAUGAGAAAUUUUGAGUGCAUAAUCUUAUGAGCUUCACCAAAUGAUAAUGCCUGCUGAAACUUUGAUACCAAAGCUUGGAAUGCUUUACACCGAUUGAGACACGGAUUACCAGAAAAGUGGUGAAUACGUGGUCUGAGUUUCUUCAGCUUUGGGUCUCGCUGAUACUUCAUAAUUGGAGCUUAUUUUAUGAAUCUGGGUUAAUCGUGCGAGGAGUGUGUGGAAACGUGAUGAGUAACCAGAUGGCAUGCUGAAUUUUACGAAGAGAAUACCCCAUUGUUUGUGAACUUUGUUUAAAGUGGUCCUAUCAGAAUGACUUACGAUAUGCAGCCUCAUCAACCCUAGAAAAUUGGUGCAAGACCUUCAGCUAUGAAAAAGAUCACUAAGACAUCUAGGUAGCAGUCAACAUUGUCAGUGAAUAUCAUCCAGUUGAUGCAAGACAGAAUAUCAAGUCCAAAGAUACAAAUGUUCUCUUACAGUUUGAUUAGAAGGGAUCUCAUUCAGUAGCUUGUUUGCCUGCUUAGUUCCUCUUGGGUCGUACCUGCUUUCCAUUUGUGUUUCUCUCUUUCUCUUCGUGGAGGCCAUGGGGUCAGAAUUUAGAAUCCAUUGGGUUUGGAGAGAUUGCAAGAGAAAGGUGAGGUCAGUUCCAUGUGGAGGCUAAGAGGGAGGGGCCCAAUAGAUUAAAUGGUUAUCUUUCAGAAUUGGUUGCUGCCUCAUUUUCGUCCUUUGGUUCCAUGCUGAGAAGAUAGGGCAUUAUUGAACCAGUUCUCUUUUUUGUAAAUAUGGGUACAGAUUCACUCAUCCUCCUUAAAGAUCAGAACCAGACUCAGAACCAGAGCUCGUUUUAGCACUGAGGAUGUCUCUUGAUGAUAACCACGACUCUGUGGUUUUAGCUUGUGCCAAAGUUGUUCUGUGCAUACUAAGUUGUGAUACGAACGAGUAUUUCUUUGAUGCCUCAGAGAGACUAGCAACUUGCAAGAAAGUUGUAUGUACUGCUCCUGGUGUUUCGAAGUAGACCAGAGAUUGAGUUUGGUUUCCUUCACGAUGGAUUUUGGAAAUACAACACCAAACCUUGUAAUAUUUUUCCUUUAAGUGAGGAUAUCAUGGAUACCAAGAGUGAAGAAAAACUCACCAUUCAAGAUGAUAUUGUUGUUGCUGAACAAGAUUUUUGCUGCAGGUGUGAUUAGGAUGGGAAUCCUUCUCAGAAUUCAUUAUCUGUUAGAGACCGAUCCUACAGUAGCUUUGGAAGAAUGCAUGAUAUCUACACCUAUUGCAAUAGCAAAGAAUUCCCCGACAUGUGCAAAUGCAAUCAUAAAGUGUGAAAGGCUUGUUCACACGCUUAUUGGCAGAUUUGCUGAAAAGGAUAAGAUAGGAGUCUAUCCUUUUAAGAUAAAGCCAGUCACUCUCUUGAAGGUGUUGGCUCAAUCUGAUCAGAAGAAUUGUAUAGAAUUCAUAAAGAGUGGGAUUUUCCAGGAUGCAUCUUCGAAUUUGUGUCAAUGUCCAUUGUCCCUCGAUCAGUGGAUGAAAUCAGGGAAAGAAAACUGUAAACAUGCGUCAGCUUCGAUGGUUGAACAACUACGCUUUUGGAAGAAGCAUACGUCGUUCUGGAGUCUUUGGCUAGAAGACUUUCAAAUUGUAGUUCACAGAAGCAUAUAUCAGAGCUUGUGGAUGAUGACAAAGAGAUCUGGUCAUAGAGCCAUACGAGUCCUAUAGUCAGUAUAGCUUUGAAGUGGAUAGCUUUCAAAACCAAUCCAGACAUUUCUAGACUCUUUGACCAACAAAGAGGGAUUGAGAGCGAUUCUGUUCACAAAGAUUCGGAAAUGAGACCCCUGCUAUGGGUGAUUUCAGCUGCCAUGCACAUGCUUUCUACUGUGCCCAAAAGUGUGACCUUAGAAAAUACCAUCAGCUUGCCCGAAAGUGGCAGACUCCUGACAAGACUGCCUGAAUUUGUCUCCAAAAUUGGAUUAGAAAUAAUUAAUAAUUCGUUUUUGAGCUUCCCAGGUGUGAAUGACAAAGAAUAUGGAAUUAAUUCUUCAGCAGGUUGCUCUUUCAUUGAAGAAUUGUGUCAUUUGAGACGUCAUGGUGAUUAUGAAAUAUCCUUAGAUUCUACUUGUUUCCUUCAUGGACUACUCCAGCAGGUUGUUUCCCUUAAUAAUUUGAUCCAACUGGCUAAGACUGAGUAACAAACUCCAUGUUUCCAAGGACAGAGUUUUGCAAAGAAGGGAAAAGGGAUUACCCUCUGUUGUCUACAAUAUUCUCAGCUGUGAGAGAGCAAAGCAUGAAGUGAGAAUGGCUGUAAUGUUUGUGAAGCAAGAGCUACCCAUCCGUGAACCAUAAAGGGCUCCAAGAAACUCAAAGAGAAAAAUUCAGCAAUGGGUGAAGGAGGAAAAUCGUGAUGAUGAUGAUCCAGAUUAUGUGGAUUCCCCUUCAAGGAGAGGCGAACCUUUAGUUAAGAAAACGAAGGUAACUCAAGAAGUCAAGAGUUCCCAAGCUAGAAGGCCUUCAACCUUGCGGUGGAACCCCCCAAAUAAGGAAAGAGACACUGAAGAUGAGUUAGUAAUGACUGAAUGGGAAGAAAGCGAAGCAAUGGUUCUGAUGAAGAUCAAAUCAAGGAAACGUAAAACCGAAAAUCUUGAUGCUGUUACGAUGAAAAAGAUAGGCUCAAGUGACAGAGAAGAGAAAAUAUUUAAGUCCGUGAACUCUAUGAAUCCUUCAUCACCUUCGUUGACUUCAACCUCAUCGGAUUCUGCCUUGGGUAGUGAUGGAAAUAGCAGCUGUAGCUCCAGGAGAUGUUAACAAUGACUAAGAAAGGCAAUGGAGGAGAUUGUUUGAAGUGCCAUCAGUGCAUGAGAAGCGAUAGAAGAAUUGUUGUUCCCUGCACCAAAUGUAAAUCAAAAUUAUAUUGCCUACAGUGUGCAUCAAGCAAUGGUAUCCCAACAUGUCAGAAACAAAAAUUGCAGAGCUAUGCCCGUUUUGUCGUAGAAAUUGCAACUGUAACCUGUGCCUGCAUUCCAGUGGGAUGGUUAAGACGGUGAAGACUGAUAUCAGUGAUGGUGAAAAGGUUCAACACCUUCUUCAUUUGAUCAAGACACUCUUUCCUUAGCUUAAACAAAUUUAUGAAGAGUAAAAGCAGGAGAUAGAAGUUGAGGCUAAUAUUCAAGGAAUACCAUCUUCUGGAAUUACAAUACCAGUGCAUUCAUGCCCCAGUGAUGAGCGUGUCUAUUACAACCAUUGUGCAACUUCAAUUAUUGACCUCCACUGAAGCUUCCCAAAGUAUUAUUAUGAGCUUUGCCUCAGCUGUUGCAAAGAGAUUCGGAAGGGAAACCUUUUAAAGACGGUGUGAUUGAGAUGGAACAGGAUUUUGCUGCUGAUACAUUCAGUGUUAGUGAAGAAUCUGAAGAUGAUGACAAUGAGGACAGUAGGGAUGGGCCACUUCUACAAUAGGGAAAGCUACAGUUUUUAAUUGGUACAGCUCGACAUGAGAGUGAUUACAACAACAUUUUGCUAGUCCCUGUUUGUAAUAAUGGUAAUCAGAAAAGCAUUCCAAUAGUAGCACCAUCUAUAAUCAAUGUUUGACUAAUAGUGGCACUAGCUCCUACAGUCAAACCUUUGUUAAUGGCAGCCCCGGAAUCAACAGUCAGCCCAUCUGAAAUGGAAAUGCUGGCUUUGACAACCCAGUCAUUCGCAAUGAAGAUGUUGCCGUGUAUAGUCAGGCCAUGCACAAUGGUGAUGUUGAUUUGGAUGAAUACUCCCUAUGGGACCUUUUGGGAGUAGCAUCAAGUGCCUCAGUGGAUAGAAGCAGCGUUCAGACAGCAGAUGGAUCACUGGUUCUGAAGCCAUCUGCACAUUAGGCAAUGACUAAGACAUAAUUUAUUGCUCAGGAGGGCUGUGAAGAACAGAAAUUCAAGCCUGACUAGAAUCAGACAUGCUCGUGCCUUCGGUUCUCUCAAAAUCUACAAUCUGUGUAGCAGAAACUGCAUUCUUGCAUUCAUUGCUUUGCUCAAUUCAGUGAUGUCCAUGACGAUCCGGUGGCGAUUCUAUCGCUGAAUUACUCUAAAAACCUAUUAUCUCUUGUGAUCAUCGAAGUGUCUCAACAGUCUUACUCAUUCCAUCUCAUGCAUUACAGUAAUUCCGCAAUCUAGGUGCGAAGCUCUUAGCAAAGAGGCUGCAUAGAGGCACAUGAUAAUAUUGGUUCAACCAGAGCAAGUGAUAAUUCAAUAAUCAUUGAAUAUAAACUCAAGACGCAGCGUUGAUCGAUUAUACUUACGACAGAACUUUAUGAUUGUCAGUGUAUAUUUGAGAGCCUAUAACGAUCAACCAGACUUCGAGAUCAGUGAACCAGAAGCAGUCUGUGUUGCCCUUCUUGGUUUUACUUCAGUUUUAGUCCACAAUCAAGGUGCUGCAGUUUUGGAUGACCAGGACACACUUAACCUUGAUGGCUCAUCCUUCAAUACAUCUGAGGUUCAGACUGAUAUAGCAGACGGAUCAAUCAUUGUACAGAAUGUUUCUGAAUCAGUGAGGCAGAAUGCACUGAAAAGAUUCGUGAAGCUUACCAACCUCUUUGGCUUUUGUGAAGAGAUAUUGACUCGUUUCCGGGACUAUUAGCUGGAUGUGCUUUGGUAAAUUUCAAAAUUCUUGAGUGACUGACCAUUUCAGAAUUUCUAUGAAUAAAAAAGAGCAAGUGACAGGCAACACAAGUUGAAGCUGCGUUCGUGAGUCAGAGGUUGCAGGACAUCAGUACUUCAGAAUUUCAGAUUGGAGUUCUUCAGAAUAAAGUCUUUGCUGGAACUCAAAAUGGUUGAAGUCAGGAUACUGUCCUUAUUAUUGACAUCAGCAAGUGAGAAGUCGGAGGUGAAACAACCAUCUGUAGAUUGAAACACUGCAUUAGACUUCAGUUUUGUCCAUGUAAAUAGUUAAAAGAAGCAAGCCAAGCAAACACCACUGGUAAUAAGAUCUCAGAAUAUGAGUCUUUCAAGCUACACCUUGAGAUGUCUCACAGAGCUAGAGACGCCAAGAAAAUGAUCUUUAGUAGAUCCUCGCUGUUGUCAAGACAAUUUUAAUGGCCACAUCAACAAUACCAAAUAGAAACGAAAGUCUACUUCAAACACAGCAGUAUUCCGAUUCAGAAACUGAAGUCUUUGCUACAACUACAUCUUUGAACAAUAGAAAUGGGUCAUAUAAAUGCUAAUCAGUGAAACUUCCUCAUGCCAGCUAUCGAUGAUCAGUUAGUACUACUGAAGAGGUAAAAGAUGAAGUUCAUGAUGAGCUACAAAACAUAGAUUCUGAGCUACAGAAAAAUCUAGGAGAAAAUUAUGAGAAAAUUGACAAAUCAGACGAGUUUGUGAGCAAAGGUUUGAAACUUAAGAACGUAUGGCAGUAAAGAAAUCCGAUUUGGAACUGGACUUAACACACACAGGAAGCGUAAGUAUGCAGAAAAUGGUUUAUUCGACCACAAGCCACAUGAAUCGAACUCUAUUAUGGCAGAUUGAGGUAAAAGUUGAAAGGCUUAAUCAAUUGAAAGCUAGCAGAAUGCAGGGAACCUCUCAAUGUAGAAAAUUGGAAAUUCCGAACCUUCUAUUCAGUAUUUAACUUCUAUUGAGGAGAAUCCAGUUGAGCUUACAAAUCAAGAUGUCUUUUAAGUUGAAGCAUUCGACAGUUGAACACUUUUGCAGUGAAUUGGUCCCUUCUAUCCAAAAUUUACCGGCUUCACUUCAUAGCAACCUUACUACACACACCUCCUCUAUUUGCUUCUUUGAUUGGGAACUUACUGUUUUAAAGUGAAUUUUUGAAUCAUUUUUCAACUAAACAUUUCCAGCUUUGAAGAAUCCAUCUCUAAAACACUUCGAGGCAUAAAAUCCAGAUUUUAACAAAUCUUUGCUGCCAUUUUCCUUCCAGCACAAGGUUUUCACUAUUUCCUUUGAUUUUCAACCAUUUUCUUGAUUUUUCUCGAUUUUCCCAAGCAUGAACAAACUUCAUGAUUCGAAACAAUGGAAUUCAUAGAAUCAACUCAUGCGAAAUUAAUUAGGGCUUUGGUGGGGGCCCAACAUUCAUGAUACUCUCUUCAAUAUUGUUUGCUUGAUAUGUUGAUUUUUGAUUCUUCUUGAUGAAAUACUUGAAUUCGCUUUAUGAUUAUUGUUGAGAUAUCCUUGUUUCCCAUAGACGUGUGGAUGCUCGCUAAUCAGGUACACUCUUCCCACCCUACAACUUUAAAAUUCUAUGAAUGUGUACGUUAUCAUGAGCCAUGACCAUGUUUGAUGCCAUACUUGAUUGUCUUGAUGCUUGUUUGAUCAUCUUUGAUAAAAUACAUAUAAUGUGUCAUAUUUCCAAACUAAUCUCUUAUGUUUUAUGAUAGCGCUUGAGAAGCCGUUCAGGUACGCACUUCGACUCUCUCUUAUGGUUGGUUUUCUUGUUAGACAUGCUAUAUUUGAAAUCACCUAAUCUACUUAGGUAUCUAUAAUUAAUCAAUUAAUUGUCAUAUUUCCCUCAAUUUAGUCAGUAGAGACCUUUAUAGGGCUUAGAGGGAUGCUACCUUUUAAAGGUGCCUUCCUAAUAAGUAACCUGAUCCUCGGACUAAGACUCAGGUUUUUCAAAGACAUGUUUUUUCAAAAAUUAUGGAGUCACUUUUUAGGGUUUUUCUUUCUUAUUUUAUUUUCCCUUUAAAAUAAAAAUAAAAUAAGUGGCGACUCUGACUUUUCUAAAAAUUGAUUUUUCACAAAUAAAAAGCGAGUCUUGCCGAUUGAGUGAGGGCGCACAUGAAAAAUGCAGGUCCACAGGUAUGAUCCUCAUUCCAAGGUACUGGAUUUUUCUUAAGUCUUUUUCUUAAAGGAGCACAAAGCUAGCUUAAAUCCUAUAUGAAAUCUAACACAUAAUUAAGGCUUCUUAAGAAACGUUGCAACUGUUUCUUGUCUUUGAUCUCAUCAGGAAACUUAUCAGCAAAUUCUAAAGACAUUUGAAUGGGAGUGAUAGUUCCUUGGUGAAUAUGAUGACCUAGGAAUCUUACCUUAAUCUAGAAAAGGUUAAUCUUGGUGAACAUGCUCUUGUGCCUUAAGUUGGAUCUAUGGGUGUUGUUGGUAUCAGAGCCAUGGGAAGGGAAGUCGGGUUUGUUUUAGGUGUGUUGAGCUAUCCUAGGAUAAGUAGCAAUGUGUCUGGGAGUACAAGCCUUGCCGGUAUUAUUUCUUAAGUAGUAAUUGGUCUACUUUUCUCUCAUCCUAUUUCGAUACAUACAAGACAUAGAGCAAAGGUAUGUCUACUAUGUGAGCAAAACAAUGGUAGACGUAGAGACUUAGUACUCCAAAAUGGAGCAGACGACCUUAGCCUUGAAGAACAUCGCUUAGAAGCUUCGCCCGUACUUCUAGGCUCAUCAAGUGACCGUACUCACAAAUCAACCACUCCGAGCUACCCUACACAAAUCGGAUUUGUCCAGACGGAUGUUGAAAUAAGCCAUUGAGUUGAGUAAAUACAAAAUCAAAUACCAGCCAAGGUUAGUAUUGAAGAAACAAGUUAUGACCAACUUUAUAACCAAACUCCCUCAAAAACUAGCACAUCCAAUUGAGUCCUUUGGAAAGCAAUGGUGGACACUUCAUGUAGAUGGAACAUCCAGAGCAUCCGAUUCCGGAGUAGGUCUAAUCUUGCAAUCACCAACUAGAAAACUAGUAAAGCAGGCUAUUCGUCUCAACUUUUCUAUCUCCAACAAUGAAGCAGAAUAUGAAGUUGUCUUAGUUAGACUAGACCUUGCCAUAACAUUGGUUGCAGCAAGGUUGGUAAUCAAGAGCGACUCUCAGCUAAUUGUCGGGUAAAUUCAAAAAGAGUACGAAGUAAAGGGUAAACGCAUGGCUCGCUAUCUCACCAUGGUAGAAGAUCGCUUGAAAAAGCUAGACAAGUGGGUUGUUAGACGGGUACCUAGGAAAGAGAACUUGAAGGCAGACGCACUGGCCGAAAUAACUAUCACUCUUCCUAUAAGAGAGGCAUUAAUGUUGUCUGUCCACGUGUCCCUUUCAAGCUCAAGACCCCUUUUCCGUGUAGAACAAGUAUGUAACCCAUCUGAGAUCAUUCCAUCCAGGCCAAGAUAAGUUCUGUCUGGCACCAGAAGUGAGAGGAUUCCCUUCUCCCAUAAGGCUAGAUGAAAUUGACAGCUUGGACUCUUAGACGGGAAGGUCUGUCCAGUCAAGUCUUUAAGACUUCUGCCAUACGUGAUCAACCACGCUUGACAUUUGAGCGGCCGGCAAGACUCCAUUUAGCCUACAAGUCUAUGUCAAUUAGUUGUUGCACACAAUCCUAGGUGUUGACAGGCUAAAUGGAAAGACAGCUACACAAUCCAAGAUCUUGGAAAGUCAGUAGAUGGCACCUGCCAGCCACCCUUAACUGAGAUGAUUGUCCAGCCGCCCUGAAGACAAUCAUCAUUACAGAAAAGGUCAGAGUGCAUACUCAACACUACAGUGGCGGUGUCAUCGUCUCUAUAUAAACCUCUCAAAAAGCACGAACAAGGUACGCACGCGAGCACAAAUGCUCACUCUCUCCCACAAAAUAGUUAAAGUUACUCUUGUAUGACUUAAGCUUCAGAGGGACAUGCCCGGACCACCCGUUUGGAUAUCCUUUUGUGUAGGAAAGAAGCCCGUUUGACUCCAGUACAGCUGGACAAAUUCUUCGAGAGACACAAAGUAGGAGCGAAGUUCGUUUGACUUCAGCAAAGCUAGACAAACCUGACACUAGUUGGCUUGACCUCAACAUGGAGUAUAUUAAAAAGGUGAGGCAUACAAUAAAUGUAGAUGUGGAGAGCGUCAUGACCAAAGUAAUGGGCACAACAAAUACUUUAAAAGUUGUCAUGUGGAUUUAUUUCACAUAAACUAUUUUAAUAGCGCAAUAAUUAUAACGAUCUUUUAUAAAUUUUACUUUUUGAUUGAUUUAAUUAUAUGUGGGCAUAAUUUUAAAUACCUAUUAUUAAUUAAAGGGGUAAUUCCAACCAAGAUUUGAAAUAUCCAUAAAUACGUAUAUAUUUCUACUUAGAUUUUACAGAUAUAUUAAAAAUAUUAAUGAAAAUUUGGUGAAUAUUUUGACAAAAAUAUCAAUAAGGCAAAAAUUAUGCAAAAUUUAUGGAAAUAUUUGAAGAAACUCCGAAAAAAAUAAUAAAAUAAAUAAAAAUACACAUGUUAAGUUAUUUUUUUAAGUGUAAUUGGUAUAGGUAUGGUUAAAGAGAAAAAUAUUGGUAAGUAAGAAUAUAUCGAUAUUAAUAAUUUAUUAUUUAUCUAGUAAAAUUAAUUUUAAUUUAAAAAAUUUUAGAACUUAAUUAUUAUUUUAUAUUUUAGCAUAUUUUUGAAUAAAUUUGUAUUUUUAAUAUUUUAAAAUAAAAACCUUCAAAAUUAAAUAAAAUUAAAAUGAUAAAUAUAAAAAAUUUAAAAGUGAAGUGAUAGUAAUUUGUUAAAAUAUGAUUAAUGAGAUAAAUGAUAAUACAUUUAAUAUUAAAAAUAUAAUUUAUUUAAUUCAAAUGCAUUCAAUAAUGUAAAAUAAAUGAUGAUGCAUAUAUGACUUUUUAAUAUUUAAUUAUCAUAUAAAUUAUAUUAAAAAAUAUUUGUUAAGAAAAUUAUAAUGAUGAUUUUUAUACAUUUAUUAAUUAAUUAAAUAAAAAUUAAAAUAAAAUAAUUAAAUUUUUUUAAUUUAUUUUUUAAUAAUGAACUUUAACAUAUUUAUUAUCAUCAUAUAUUAAUGAGUUGGGACUUAGACCAAUGGCAAUCAAGCUUAAAUCUAAGUCUUUUGACCUAGGUUUGAAAAAAUUCAAAUCAUGUAGGGAGAAAAUCGCCCAAAAAAAUUGCAAUUUUUUUUAUUUCGGCAAUUUUUUUCAAUCUCCUCUUCCUGUCGUCAGGUCGGGCGUCGCCCCACGCUCGAUUUUUCGCUGAUAAAUCACCUCCAAAACAAUAUAUCGUUGAUAGUUUGACGAUUUUGCCGAAAUUCUUGUCAAUCGAUAAUCGGUGCCUGUUAUCAUUUCGGGCACCAUCAAUAUUCGAUAUUUUGUUGAUAUCUCGACAAAAAAAAAAAAAAAAAAAAACCAACAUUUCAAUCCUUGGCUCCAACUACCUACUACUCUAUAUUUUGUACAAGUAUUAAUCUAUGAAACUAAAGUCAAGACAACAUAAAAGAUAUUUUGUAAAAGAAAUUUCAAUUGAAGUGGUAGAUGUUUCUGUGUUAAACCCCUACCAACUUUGUUGUUAGAGUGAAAAGCCCCACCAACUUUGUUGUCAAAGUUAAAAGGAGUAGAUGGAACUUGGAAGUAGAUCAUAACUAACACAAUUGUUUAUGUGGAGUAAAGAUGAAAAUAUAGGUAAUCAUGAAUAUAUCGAUAUUUCGAUUUUACGAAUAUAUCAAAUAUAUUAACAAAUAUUUUGAUACAAAAUAUCAAUGGACCUAAAAUUGAUUAGAACUUAUAGAAAUAUAGGAAAAAACUUUUAGAAAUGAAAUUAGAAGUAUAAUAGAUAUUUUAAAGUUGUUUUAUUGAAGAAAUUAACAUAUGUAUGAUAUAAUUUAUUAUAUUUGAUAAUAAUAUUGUAUGUGUUGAUAAAAAAAUAUAAAUUUUAUAAGUGUACAUUUAUUAUUAAUCCUGGGGACGUCACCCCCAAGGGCCAAAUAAACAAAUGGCCCCUCAUAAGACUUUGCGCUGUCCGGCCCAACCCGGACACCAGAGCAAAAAAGGCCGACGUUUAUGUUGGGACGUCAUUUGUUUGUUUGGCCCUGGGCAGCCGCAUGGGCCGGAUACCAGAGUGGCCUCCCCAGGAUUCAAACCCAAGUCCAAGACUUAAGGACGAUAAGGUUNNNNNNNNNNNNNNNNNNNNNNNNNNNNNNNNNNNNNNNNNNNNNNNNNNNNNNNNNNNNNNNNNNNNNNNNNNNNNNNNNNNNNNNNNNNNNNNNNNNNNNNNNNNNNNNNNNNNNNNNNNNNNNNNNNNNNNNNNNNNNNNNNNNNNNNNNNNNNNNNNNNNNNNNNNNNNNNNNNNNNNNNNNNNNNNNNNNNNNNNNNNNNNNNNNNNNNNNNNNNNNNNNNNNNNNNNNNNNNNNNNNNNNNNNNNNNNNNNNNNNNNNNNNNNNNNNNNNNNNNNNNNNNNNNNNNNNNNNNNNNNNNNNNNNNNNNNNNNNNNNNNNNNNNNNNNNNNNNNNNNNNNNNNNNNNNNNNNNNNNNNNNNNNNNNNNNNNNNNNNNNNNNNNNNNNNNNNNNNNNNNNNNNNNNNNNNNNNNNNNNNNNNNNNNNNNNNNNNNNNNNNNNNNNNNNNNNNNNNNNNNNNNNNNNNNNNNNNNNNNNNNNNNNNNNNNNNNNNNNNGAAUCCUGGGGAAGUCACCCCCAAGGGCCAAAUUAACAAAUGGCCCCAUAAGACUUUGCGCUGUCCGGCCCAACCCGGACACCAGAGCAAAAAGGCCGACGUUUUUGUUGGGACGUCAUUUGUUUGUUUGGCCCUGGUCAGCCGCAUGGGCCGGAUACCAGAGUGGCCUCCCCAGGAUUCGAACCCAAGUCCAAGACUUAAGGACGAUAAGGUUGCCCUCCUGGUACCAUCUGUGCUCAACACAAAGGACAGAUUAAGAAUUCCGAAAGGACAUUGACACAUUUUUUUUUUAUUGCUUGGUUGUCUCUAUGCAAUUGUUGAUCAACUUGCACUGCCUUGAUGACGAAGCUCUACACAUGAGGAUAAACAUUGAAAGAAAACAGAAGGUUGAAAUGAUUUAUGGUGUCUUUUAUUACAGCAAAUCUAAAACUUGGCCAACCUCUGAGAAACUAAAGAGGCUUGGAAGAUAUGGCUUCUUAAGAAAUUAAUUUAUGCCUGAAAAUCCAAAGGGAACUUAAUGGUUUUUCCUUUUAUUGUUCCUUUUUCAAAGCACAAGCUAGAACAUAGAAAAUGAUUAUCACCUGAAUGGUACCUCCCUCCAUCUUCCUCAAUUACAUUAAUUUUCACUGCACUCAUUUGUGGAUCACUUCCCAAGGCCUUGGGAAGCCAUGCAAUGUUAAAGAACCUUUUUUCCAUGACCAACAUAGAAUAUCAUAAUUUUCUCUUACAUGCAAACAUAACGGUUUUGUCGUGUCCUAUGAUAUUGUGAGACUAGAUAUACGCACACNNNNNNNNNNNNNNNNNNNNNNNNNNNNNNNNNNNNNNNNNNNNNNNNNNNNNNNNNNNNNNNNNNNNNNNNNNNNNNNNNNNNNNNNNNNNNNNNNNNNAUUUUUGACAUUCCAUAAUUUCUACGUUCUUGAGCCAAAUUUAGAAAAUAAAUCAUUCUUGGACAACCUCGAUCCUGUGGGGUUUGGUUUUGGAAGCCAAAAGUCCCAUCUUUGUUGCUCUUUAGGGCUUUUGUAAAUGGAGAGGGAGAGAUUUGAGGAUGCCUGCAAGGUUGUAGUACAAGCUACAAAUGACGUAUCGAUCAUGCAAUUUUUAGUUGGUGACUCACCAUCCAUGCAUGGGCCGUGGUUUUAUUUUUAUUUAUCUAGGCUUUGGUUCACAAAGUAUUAAGAAAAAAAAAUAUUAUAAAAAAUGAUUUUUCAUAUUUGAUUUCACCAUUAAAAAUAUAUAAAAAAAAAUCAAAUAUAAUUAAAAUUAAUUAAAAAUUUACACAUUUUAAAUUCAUUUAAUUUUUAUAUCAUGAAGAAAAAUAAAUAAAAUAAAUUUAAAAAAAUUAUGGACCCCACAUUUUGCUCGAUGUGUUUCUACUCGAUGGUAAAACUUGUUUUUUUAUUUUAUUUAUUUUGCGAAAAUUAUGAUUUUUAGAAAAGACUUAGAGUUGCCACUUAUUUUUGUUUUAGUUUUUAAAAGGAAAACAAAAUAAGAAACAAAAAUACUAAGUAUGACUCCUUACGUGGAAAAACGGGUCUGUGAAAAAUUGAGUCGAGUCCAGGGUUGAGGUUACUUAUUGGGAAGGUACAAUAAAAAGAUCGAAAGCACCCAUCUAAGUCCCUAAAAACGGGUCUCUACUAAAUAAGGUGAGGUAAAUGUGACAAUUGAUAAGGAAAUCAAUGGAUACCAGUGAAAUAAUCAAAUAAUAAAGUGAAAUCAUGCAUCAGAAUAAGCGAAGUGGAAAUGAGAUCAUACCUUAACAGCAAUUAAUAGUGCGCUAUCAUGGAAACAAGGUUAGCUCAAGUAUAAAAUCAUUACAUACAUAUCAAAAAGCAAGACAAAAAUCAAACAAUAUUCAUUAAACAUAACAAUUGACAAUCAAAAGAGAAAACUCCUAUGUAGGGCCCCCACCAAAGCCCGAUUUAUCUUGUAUGAAUUAGUAUCACAAAUUCCAUUAUUUUGGAAUUAUGAAAAAAAUUCAUUCUUGCUUAUUUAAAACUAAGAGAAACAAAAAAUUAUUUGAAAAUAGAAGAAAAUUUGUACAAAUGCAUACCAAAAUGAGAAUGAUAACAGACUUAUUAAAAUUAGGAUUUUUGGCGACCUAAAACUCUAAUAAAGGUUGGAAAGUUGUAGAAUUAAAACUGUUCGAGAUAAAACUAGAGUUUUGAAAUUUAUUUGAAAAUUGAACUCUCGAAAAUUAUUUGAAAAUUGGAGUCUUGAAGAUUAAAUCUAAGAAUUGGAAUUUUGGAAAUUAAAUUUGCAAGAAAUUGGAAUUUUGAAAAUUAUUUGAAAAUCGGAGUUUUAAAAAUUAAAUAUGAAUUUGGAGUUUUGGAAAUUAAAUUUGAAAGAAAUUGGAGUUUCGAAAAUAAAUUGAGAACUGGAGUUUUGGAAAUUAGAAUCUUAGAAAUCAUUUGGAGAUGAUAUUUUAAAAAAUAAAUAAAUAAAAUAAUAAUAAUAAUAAUAAUAAUAAUAAUAAGCAAGUGUGAAAAUUGGUAUUUUGGAAAUUGAAAAUUAAAUUUGAAAAUUGGAAUUUUGAAGAAUUAUUUAAAGAUGAAAAUUUUAAAAUAAUAAUAAUAAUAAAUAAAUAAAUAAAUAAAGGGAAUAAUAAUAAAUAAUAACGAAAAUAAUUAUUAUUAAAUAAAUGUGAAAAUUGAAAUUUUGGAAAUUGGAAAUUAAAUUAGGAAAUCGGGAUUUUGAAGAAUUAUUUAAAAUGGAAUUUUAAAAAUAAAUAAAUAAUAAUAAUAAAGAAGAUGAUAAUUGUUAAAUAAAUAAAUGUGAAAAUUGAAAUUUGGGAAAUUGAGAAUCAAAUUUGGAAAUCGGAAUUUUGAAGAAUUAUUUAAAGAUGGAAUUUUAAAAAAAAUAAUUAAAUAAAUAAAAUAAUAAUAACGAAAAUAAUAAUGAUUAAAUAAAUAAAUAUGAAAAUUGGAAUUUUGGAAAUCGAAAUUUUGAAGAAUUAUUUAAAAAUGGAAUUUUUAAAAAAUAAAUAAAUAAAAUAAAAUAAUAACAAAAAUAAUAAUGAUUAAAUAAAUAAAUGUGAAAAUUAGAAUUUUGGAAAUUAUUAGAAAAUCGAAGUUUUGAAAAUUAAAUUUUGAAAAUUGGAAUUUUGAUGAAUUAUUUUAUAAUGGAAUUUUAAAAAUAAAAUAAAAUAAAAAAUAAAACGAAAAUAAAAAUAAAGAUGCAUGUCUAGUGGAAAAUGGUAGGAAUUCAUUUAUUAAAAUUCUCAAUUCAAAGAGAUGAUGGCCCAUUGGUGAGCCAUGAUAAUGUUGUGCUUCCAAGCAUUCUUACACCUAGCAAACAUGAAAAAAUUAACCCAAGAUGCACUUCUUACCCAUCAGCCACCUAAGUUGGAGCCCAUAAAAUCCAAAAAACUGCAAUGGAGAAAUGAAUGCAAGGUUGUGCACGUGCCAAUAACCAUAUCCUUCUAUCACAAGAAAUACGUGUGUAGAAGGACAUUCUACAGUCCUUAAAAACUACUAUUCGUGGAGUUUCGACCCAACAUUUGGUGAUAUAAAUGAUAGUUAUCAUUGCCAAGAUCCCAUUUGCUACGGAAGGAACAACCACACUUUUCUUCGCAUCACUACCAAGGAGCCAAUUUGCAAGCACUUGGCUUCCAAUAAAAGAUGCAGACUCAAAUAAUGUCAUUAACCAGAAAGUAUCAAUCAAAAAAUAUAACGUCUAUACCCAAGCUUAUCAUGUUCAACAACCAUCCAUGUUUCAAAACUGAAUGAAAAUAUUGAAGUGGCGAGAGAUAAGUAGAUAUUUGCUACCCAAACACUAGGUUACAGGGUAAUCCUCCUCCAUAUGCCAAUCGAGAGGUGUAGAACACAAAAUGACAAAAAAGCUUUCUUUUGAUCGAUGAAAUCACAAAGCAGACCUAAGGAAACACUAAAGAAAAAGGCAACUAAAUAUCCAACACAGAGAGACACCACCAAGUUCCCUUAUGAGAAUCUCACUCCCUUCAACAUCCAUCAUGAUCGCAACAGCAAAGCCCUUCUCCUCAAGGGUAUAAAUAGGCACCGGAACAGAGAGUAAAUAGCAAGGGAACAAGCAUAAAAAAAAAAAAAAAAAAAUAGAGCAUCAAAUGAACCAAAGAAAACAUUAACCCGAGCCUCAUCUCAUAUUGAAAUCAAUGGGCUUACGUAUAGGUGAAAAAANNNNNNNNNNNNNNNNNNNNNNNNNNNNNNNNNNNNNNNNNNNNNNNNNNNNNNNNNNNNNNNNNNNNNNNNNNNNNNNNNNNNNNNNNNNNNNNNNNNNAACUCAAUGAAAAUCAAAUGCGAGAAAGAUGUGGUCCAGUAGAAGUUCCCGAAAAGACUCCCCUCCGGCGAGACUAGCUGGGUGUCAAGUUGCUUUAUUUCGUCGUUUCUACUUCAUACCAUUUGCAGUUUACUCCAGAAAACAUUUCUUCUCUCUAAAAAAAAAAUGCAUUCGUUCUCCUCCUCGUUUCUCUCAAGGCUUCCCCAUUUUGUUCUGCUUUUUUUCAUCUCCAAGCUUUUUCCAACCCUACCCGUUUCAGUGCUCCUUGCUCAAAAGAAGUCUCGUCUCAACCACCCCCAUGGCAAGGUGGUGGUCCCAACCACUCAUCCAUGCAUGGAGCUUCAUGGAAGUUGUCCCCCACUUCAAAUGAAAUGCUCUCCAACUCCUUCCAGGUGGUAAAAAAUAAAAAAAGAAUAAAGAAAGAGAAAAAAAAACUUUGGUUUAAAAAAAAAAAAAAAAAAGGUCUACAAAUAUGCCCCUCUUCGGUAGAGUUCACGAGUGUAAGAAAUAUGAACACUAGAGUGAAAAGAAAUUGUAAAUAGUGAAUGAAAUGAAGUGGACUCUACCGAAGAAAAAGAAAGACCCCUAAUGGCGCACAAGUAUAACACAAACUUGCUUAAUCCAAUAAAGGAACAAAAGAGGUUCCAAAAUCCCAAAAGAAUGGUAGCUCUCAGAGUGCCUUUAAAGCUGCACUAUGAACUUAGGCUUCCUCUAAGAUGUCUCCAGAAGUGACUUGAAGAUCAAUGUCAGAGAUGAGUAACGGUCAAACCACCUUGGGGUACAGGAAAGAAUGCGUCCAAAGGGGACUACCCUAUGCGAACUACAUGAGAACACUAAGUGUAAGGUACCCAGCAACAUGACUGAAAUAUGUGUCAUGAACUCAAAGAACUAUGUCAUGUGCAGUGGAAGGAGAAGUCUAGAAGAGCAUGAUGGACAAGCAAUAAGCACAAGGUAACAAGGUAAGGAAAAUGAUGACGAAUGUAAAAUUUGUGAAGGCAAGAUGUACAAUGCUAAUGAAUAUGAAUGCUAGGAGCUAUGACUUUAAAUGAUAAGGUUGGGGAAAAAUGACUUUUGAAUGCCAAAAUGAGGAAAAGUGGUGACUCAAAAUGUAGGAAUGAGUAUGCACAAUGGCUCUGAACGUCAAAACUAAAUAAAGAUGUUGACACUGAAUGCUAAGAUGAAGGAAUAUGAUGGCUCUGAAUGUUAAAAUGAAGACACGGUUUUGAAUGCUAAAAUGAAGAAAAUAAUGGCUCUAAAUGUCAAACUGAAGACAUGGAUCUGAAUGCCAAACUGAAGAUAUGAUGGCUCUAAAUGUCGAACUAAAACCAUGGCUCUAAACACCAAACUGUGAAGAGAUGGUGGCUUUGAACGCCAAACUAUAAUGAGAUGGUGGCUCUGAAUGCCAAGUUGUAAGGAAAUGGUGGCUUUGAACACCAAACUAAGAAAUGAUGGUGGCUCUAAAUGCCAAACUGAAAAGAGAUGGUGGCUCUAAAUUCCAAAUUGAAAAGAGAUGGUGGUUCUGAACGUCAAACUGAAGAUGAUAUGAUGACUCUGAAUGUCGAGCUAAAACCAUGGCUUUAAACGCCAAACUAUGAAGAGAUGGUGGCUCUGAAUGUCAAACUGUAAUGAGAUGGUGGCUCUGGACGCCAAGCUGUAAGGAGAUGGUGGCUCUAAACUUCAAACUGAGAAGAGAUGGUGGCUUUGAAUGCCAAAACCUAUGAAGAGAUGAUGGGAUGGCUCUGAAUGCCAAGCUAAAACAAUAGUUAUGAAUGCCAAAUAGAAAGAAAGGCUCUGAACACCAAACUGAGAAGGACGACUCUGAACGUUGUAACGGAGAAGAUAUGGCGGCUCUGAAUACCAUAACUAAGAAGGGAUGGCGGCUCUGAAUGCCAAACUGAAAAAAGAUGGUGGCUUUGAAUGCCCAAAGUGAGAAGAGAUGGUGGCUCUGAAUGCUAAAUUGUAAAGAGAUGAUGGCUCUGAACGCCAAGGUGUAAGGAAAUGGUGGUUCUGAAUGCUAGGAAUGUAGCCCUGAAUGUCGAAAAGGUGGCAACAAAUGCCCAACUGUGAUAGGAUGAUGGCUCUGAAUGCCAAACUGUGAAAGGAUAGUGACUCUGAACGCUAAACAGGAGAUGCGGCUCUGAACGCCCGAACUGAGAAUGGAUGGUGGCUCUGAACGCCAAACUGAAAACAUGGCUCUGAAGGCCAAACUGAGAAGAUGUGGCGGCUCUGAAUGCCAAACUAGAGAUGCGACUUUGAACAUCAAAUUGAAGAAGAUGAAGGCCUUGAACACCAUAACUGAGAAGGGAUAGUGACUCUGAAUGCCAAGCUGGAGAUACGGUUCUGAACGCCAAACUGAAAAAAGAUAGUGGCUCUGAACGCCCAAACUGAAGAUGCGUCUCUAAACACCAAACUGAAGAAGAUGAAGGCCCUGAACACCAUAAUUGAGAAGAGAUAGUGACUCUGAAUGCCAAGUUGGAGAUGCGACUCUAAACUCCAAACUGAAGAAGAUGAAGGCUCUGAACGCCAUAAUUGAGAAAGGAUGGUGACUCUGGACACCAAGUUGGAGAUGCAGUUCUGAACGCCAAACUGAAAAAGAGAUGGUGGAUCUGAAUGCCAAACUGAAGAUGCGACUCUAAACGCCAAACUGAAAAAGAUGAAGGCCCUGAACGCCAUAACUGAGAAGGGAUAAUGACUCUGAAUGCCAAGUUCGAGAUACGGCUCUGAAUGUCAAACUGAAGAAGAUGAAGGCUCUAAAUGCCAUAAUUGAGAAGGGAUAGUGACUUUAGACGCCAAGGUGGAAAUGCGGUUAUGAAUGCCAAACUGAUGAAGAUGAAGGCUCUAAACGCCAUAACUGAGAACUAACAUCUCUGAAUGUCAAAUUGAGAAAAACGACUCUGAACGUCGUAACUAAUAAGCGAUGAUGGCUUUGAACGUUGAGCUGUAAAGAGAUGGUGGCUCUAAAUGCCAUAAUUGAGAACUAACAUCUCUGAAUGUCAAACUGAGAAAAGAAGACUCUGAACGUCGUAAAUGAGAAGCGAUGAUGGCUCUGAACGCUGAGUUGUAAGGAGAUGGUGGCUUUGAAUGCCAAACUGAAAAUGUGGCUCUGAAUGCAAACCUGAGAAGUGAUGGUGGCUCUGAACGCCAAACUGUAAGGAGGACAACUCUAAACAUCAAACGAAGGACAACCAACGGCUCUGAACACCAAACUAAAGAUAUGGUUUUGAACACUGAGAUGAAAUUGCCACUCUGAACGUUGAACGGAAGGAAGACAUGAUGACUCCAAAUGUCGAACUAAGAACAAACAAUGGCUCUGAACGCCAAAAUGAAGAUACGGCUCUGAACGCUAAAAUGAAAGUACGGCUCUGAACGCCAAACAAAAAAAUGUGAUGGCUCUAGAUGUCAAACCAAAGACAAACAACGGCUUUGAACAUCAAACUGAGAAUAUGGCUCUGAACGCCAAACGGAAAAGAGACAUGAUGGCUCUGAAUGUCGAACUAAGGACAAACGACGACUCUGAAUGCCAAACUGAAGAUGCGACUCUGAACGUCAAAAUGAAAAUACGGCUCUGAAAGCCAAACAGAAAAGAGACAUGAUGGCUUCGAAUGUCAAACUAAGGACAAACAACGACUCUGAAUGCCAAUUUGAAGAUGUGGCUCUGAACACCAAAAUGAGAAUACGACUCUAAACGUCAAAAUGAAAACAUAACUCUGAACAUCAAACGGAAAAGAGACAUGAUGGCUCUGAAUGUCGAACUAAAGACAAACGACGGCUCUGAACGCCAAACUGAAGAUGCAACUUUGAACGUCAAAAUGAGAAUAUGACUCUGAACGUCAAAAUGAAAAUGCGACUCUGAACGUCAAACGGAAAAGAGAUGUGAUGGCUCUGACCGCUAAGCUAAAAAUGCGAGGAGAUAAUGAGGAGGAAAUAUGCCCCAGUGUAGCAUGCCGCUACAACUCUCAAUUCAUAGGAAGGGUCUGAAAGAGACUCUAUGAGUCUCAAAAGAUGCUCCACUGACGAGUCGGAACGGUCAAAUCGACUAUAAAUAUGGCCUCACAACCCAUUUAACUGAAUCACGAGACCUGAUGAUGUGUCACAAUAAGUCGGAUGCCUUUAACUCAACAAGCUCUACUGGAGGAACCCAUUGUCGUUUCAAAUGAGUGAUCCAAUAGGGAAUCUCAAGAGAAUAGUCCGCCAGGGUAACUACUACAACCUUAACACAAAAAUCUACUGAAAAGUCAUGGAUAACGUGGUAGUCAAAACCCAGAAAGUCGUGCUCCUUUGGAGGCUCAUCUCGACCAAAGUCAUCAAAACCGUGCCCAAUAAUGCAAAGAAAUAUCCCUCGUCCAAGUAAUGAAGGCUGUAACAAGUCUGUGAGAAAACAAUCAUCUCUACAGCUAAAAGAGGAAAAUAUGCCCUAGUAUAGAAACUAAGGCAUCCGGUCUAUCCUGAUAACUCGAGAAUAACUCCAUGGGGAUGUAUAAGAUAUUUGACAUGUACUUCAUUGAAAUGAUGAUAUAGGAGUCUAUGCACCUGAGGUAACUCCAUCUAAGAAUUGUGACAAUAUAAGAAAAUAUGAGCUUGACUGAAUGACUCGAGAAAGGCUCCAUUGGGUAAUCAAGACAAAAUGAAAGCAAACCAUCAGCUCUCUUUGUGAAAGCUGAUACGGAGAGGAUCACGACUAUGGUGUCCGUCACAAUAAAUGCUUUGAAAGCUGCUCUCUUUGUUAAAAUUGCCAUGCCAUUGUCAUUGUAACCUCCAGGCAAGGUGAAACCCGCAGCAAAGGUUACAGUUGCUACAAGUGCUGCCACUAUCAAAUGGUUUCACCUUUUCUUUUUAUGUUAGAGAUGCUUUUGUCUUUUCUGACGUCUUUGCUUUUACUACUAUUACUAGUACCACCACUGUCUUUAUUGAUAGCCUCCUGCCAAGUAAAGGGUCCAACAACUUCUUUCUCCCAUUCCCUCAAUUGUCUUCGAAAUUCUUCCUGAAAUUUGAUCAAAAUAAAAACAAAUAAACCUUUUUCCAUAAAAUAAAAUAAAAUAAAAAGAAGGGAAAGAAAGAAGGAAAAAAAAUGUAGUUCAUGUGUCACUGUUUUGGCUUUUUGCUCUUCCUUUUUAUAAAAAGAUUUUCUCAUCUUCCCUCAAAAUGUUUUUCCAUAAGUCUACAAUUUAAAUCCACAAGUUCUACAAAUUGCCUUCAUUAUGGUAAUUUGGUACUUAAUUUCUAUUUUAAGCAUGAUUGUCCCUAUCGAUAAUAAAAAUAGAAAAAAUGAUGAUGAUGAUGCCCGGGGUUUUUAAUUCUACCAUCGUGAUGGAGUUUUUCCAUAUCAUUACUAAUAAAAAGAUUAGGUUAGGAUCCUUACUAUGAUCAUAUAUCCUGGAUUAAGGUUAGCCCUUGAAAAAAUGUCUAGGGCGGUUAACUUAUCCUUGUUGAGCGCCAUUUUAUCCACUCUAUUGUCUUCUGAGAAAGAUGGAUCAAAAAGUUGGUAAGAAGCAAGCAGGUGGAGGGGUGUGUCUCCUUUAGCGUCUUUCUCAUUCAUAAGUCUUCUCACCCUUAACAAACUAUUGUCAUUCAAGAUAUUACGAGUAGCAUGAUAUCGCUCGCUCAUAAUGGCAGAGUGAAAAACAUUAUUUCCCUUAUCAUCCACUUGCUCGCAACAAUCUGGGGAGUGUGACAACAGCAGCUUUGCUAUAUCUUGAUGGUUACGGUUAGCUGCAAUGUGAAGUGUUGUUUUCUUGCUGUCCUUGAUUCCAAGAUAAGUUACAAAUUUAUCUGGUGAUUUGCCUAGUAAUUGCUCCACAAUUGCAGUAUGACCCAAGUAUGCAGCACAGUGAAGGGGAGACCAUCCAUUCUCAUCCACUUCUUUUGUCAGAUCUGGCUUCCAUUCCAAUAACCUCGCUGUCAUUUCUGUAAACAAACGAACCAACAAAAAACAGAGAAAACAAAUUGAAGAAAAUUAAGUGAAUCAUUGAAGUUCCCUCUAGUGAAGCAUGACUCCUAGAGGUGAUCAUGUUUUCUAACAAUAGGUUGCAUGACUAUCUAAUCACAUGGGAAUCGAGAUUCAGGGGAAGGAUCUGCUUAUGUGAUACCUUAGUCAUUGCGAAUUACAGCAGCAUGUAAAGCCGUUCUACCCAUCAUGCCACUAUGAGAUGGUGAAGUGCAAGUUCCUAUGAUUAAAUUCACCAAAUCUUCAAAACCUAUCUCGGCGGCCAUGUAAAGAAGAGUGUAGCCUGUAAUAUUAGCCCCAUAAAUAAACUCGGGGUCUUCCUCGUUCAAUGACUUCACAACCUCUGAAUGAUAAUACCUCACUGGCUCAUGCAAGGCUGUGUUUUCCAGGGUUCAAAGUAUCGGCCGAGUCCGGUACAACUCGGCCGAGUCAUAUCCGCCUCAACACCUGCCGCAACGAGACCGAUACCAGAUACAGUAUAAUGCACGAACUCGACUAGGAAUCGGUAAAACUCGGCUGACUAGUCUGAGUUUUCGAGUUAACUCGGUUAGGUUACAGAGAAUUUUCAAAUUUUAUUUCCAAUCACAAUAAAACAUCAGAACAUUUUCAUAUAAAAAAAAAUCAAAGAUUGCCCUUUCAAAAGCAAGCACAUAUUCUGAAAUUUUAAACCAUCAAUGAGAAUAUCAAAGAAGACGAAGAAGAAAUAAUCCAACCCGUGACCCGUUUGGAAAUAAGUGGAGAAACCAGCGAAGGAUGAGGGCAUGAUUUAGGAUUUACUUACCUGAUUUUCCUCAAAAUCGAGCAUUACCAGAGGGUGGAGCUUUGGUGUUGACGGUGGUGACUCGUCAAGUGGACUGGAUCUUUCACCGGCGACGUCGACGAGACAACCCCUUCACAGUCAAAUUGCUUCCCCUCCCGUGUUGGGUCUUGCACGGUUGCAAAUUUGCAAUUGCAGGUGGUGUUGUGGGUCUUGACGGCAAUUUCUGGGGACAGGAUGAUUGAAUGCGUUUGUCCAAGCAAAUAUUAGGGCUACGCUCAUUUGGCUAAUUAUGGGCUGAGCAUGGGCCAGCCCAUUUUUUAACUAUUAGCUGUAACUGGGCCGUUCUCUGAUUUAUGUCAUAAAUCUCUUCAUCUUCAUCAAAUUUUAUAACUCGGAGAUUUUUAUUUCACACUCCAUUUAAUAAAGUUUAAGUAAGUUUCAAGUUUCACAAAUUUAAUUUUUAAAAAUUAUAUAUAUAUAUAUAUAUAUAUAUAUAUAUAUAUAUAUAUCUUCUUCCCUUUUCUUUUUUUAAGUACAAAUUAUUUAUCCUUUUUAUUUUCAUUUUUAUUUUUCAUCAUCUUUCUUUUUACAAAUUAAGUAAAAUGUGUUUCAAUUAUAUAUUAAAAAUGUUAUUUUUUUAAAUUUAUUCUAAAUAAAAUAUUAUUAACAAUUAUUUUUGUAAAGUGUUAUUAUUUAUUUUUAACAAAAGAAUUAAUUACACUUUCAUAAAGAUAUCAUUAUCCAUACAAUGUAUAAUAAUCAAAUUAAUCGUAUGUCAUUUAAUAAAGUUUAAGUCGGUUUCAAGUUUCACUAAUUUAAUUUUAAAAAAUUAAAUUAGAAGUUAUUGAAAAUGACAAAUAAUUUUGAGCUAAAUGUGAAAAAAAAAAAUUGUUUUAUUAAUUUUUUUCAACUUAUUCAAUUAUAUCUAUUUUUUUAAUUUAUAUAACAUUUUCUUAUAAUUUUUUGAAAUUUCUAAUUAUCUUAUUUUGCGUAUCGCCCGAUACCGAACCGAGAUGUCGAGACCGAUAUGCCUCGUGGCCCUCCGAGUCAAUCACCGAUACCGCGACUUUGAACCAUGGUGUUUUCCUCCUCAUUUGUCAUCCUCAUAAUCGCCUUUUCUCCUCCAACCCCACUCUCGAUCUCUUGGUGAAGUCGUUUCGCAGCAUCAAUGAGUGCUUUCACGACUAUCAAAUGGCCUUCUCUCGCUACAAGGUGAAGUGGAGUGUCGCCCUUCAGAUUGGGCUUAAGCAGGAGAGACGAAGAUGAAUUCAGCCCCAGGAUAUACUGAACACAGUCCAAUUGACCGAAUUGAGCUGCAAUGUGGAGGACGGUAUUCUUAUUUGGGGUUAAUUGGACCACAAAAUGAUCUUCUGACAUUUGUUCCAAGACAUCGAUCCUGCCAUAUGCUGCGGCCUCGCACAAAGCAGCAUCCAUGCAAGUGAUCGGAGUUUGGCUGCCAUCUGCAUCUGCCGCCUGGUUCAAGAUUGGCUACCGUCUUGAGCUGCAAGCUGUUCCAGGUAAAGAGUAUGUGAUUCUGCAGUGUGGAUGGAAGUGGAAAGAUCCAUAGGUGCUUCAGCAAUCAGCACUAUCCUCCUUUACACAACUUUUCCCCACCCCACCUUGCCUCAAUUAUAUAUAAUAUUAAAAAAAAUUAUAUUGAUUAAUUUUUAACAUAUAUAAAAUACUUCUUUCCAUAAAAAUAAAUUAUAAAUAUUUAUCAUAUUUAUUUAUUUUUAAUAAAAUGUAAAAUUUUAAAACUAAAAAAAACUUGAAAUUUCAAAACUGUUUUAAAAAACAAUUCUAAAAAAUAGUUUUUAAAAAUUGUUAUCUAAUUUUUGUAAAAUAAAAGUUUGUUUGUAAACCUAAAAUGCUUUUAAACUAUUUUUGAUAUUUUAAAAUAUGUUUUAAAAAUAACUUUUAUAUUUAAUAUUUUAUUUUUAAUUAUUUUAUAUGUUUGUAUAGUUAUUUCUUAAAACAAUCGUCAGAAAACAAGUGAAAACAAUGAAAAAAAACUAAAAGAUAUUAUCUUAAAACACUUUGUUUUUUUGUUUUUAAUAACAAAAAAACAUAAAAUAUUUUUUAUUUACCAAGGUUCUCAAACAAACCUUAAAUAUCUAAACAUAUUUUCAGUUUUAAUUUUUAUUUUCUAGAAAAAUGAAAAUACCAAACAAGAUCUUAACCUAUCUUUAAUCACACUAAUUUUAGGGCAAUCUCAUCACAAAGAGUUUAUUUUCUUACAUUUUUUUUUUCAUAUGUGAUCAUCAACUACUUAUCUUUUUUAUUUAUUUGUUUGUUAACUAGAAAAAUAGGCUAUGUGGGAGGUCACCCCAAACAUAAUAUACUGAGUUUGACUUCACAUUAAUAAUAAUAAAUACUUCAUUAAGUCAUCUUUAUUAAUGUUUGAGUGUUGUUAAGUAUGAACUUAUAUUUUUUUAAUUAUUAUUUUUAAAUGGUAAAUUAAUUUGCUUUUAUAUUUUAAAAUCUAUAAAAUUAAUUAUUAUAUUUCUUUUAAUUUUAUGCAUUUAUGAUAAAAAAAAAAAGUUAAAAUUAAUAAUUUGAAAAAGGAAUAGCAAUGUAAUAUAUUUCCAAACGUCAAAAUUUAUUAACAUAAUAAAAAAUUUCUAUUUUGAGUAAUAGCUCAUCAGAAAAUUUUAUAUUAAAAUUUCUUAAGAAAUAAGAGAAAAUAUAACCUAAAACAACAUCCAUUCGAACUAAAAUAAAUCAAUUUUUUUUAAAUUUAUUUUUAAGACAACAAUUAUCAAAUUUUUAAAAAUAACAAAAAUAAAUUAAAAAUAAAUUGAAUCAAAUAAUAUAGAAAGAAAAAAACAAAUAAAUAAACAAAUAAAUGUGAUGUAUGAUAUUAAUGGGUAAUUAAUUAUUCAUGGUUGACACCCAAGGCUUACAUCAUAUGCAUCUCCAUAAGGAUUAUAUUUCAAGUCAUCCUUUUAAAUAGAGUGAUAUUUAAAAUAGAUAAUUAAGAGUUCGUUUAGUUGUUAUUUAAAAAUUUUUAUUAUGAUAAAAAAAUUAAUUAAAAUUUUUAUCAUGAUAAAAAUAUUAAAAACGUUUUCUAUAAUCUCUAUCAAACACAUUUUAAAACAAAUGGUAUUAAAAUAAUAUUUAUUAUUUACUUAUAACAGUAUAAUAAUGGAUUUUAAAUUCAAGAACAGCGUUCAAGAGGGAACACGUGAGUAUCCUAUUUAAUGUUGAAUAUUUUAUUAAUUAAUUAAUUAAUCUCUUUAUUUGUAUCAACAACAAUAAGAAGCAUAUUAAAAUAAUGGGAUAUCAAGAUUAUUUUAACUUUGAAGAACUCAUCUUAAAACUACAAAAUGAUUAUUUUAACAAAAUAUCAAGAUUCCUUUCAUAUUUUCAACCUGUAAAACUUGUUUAUUGAGGAGUUGGUGGUGGUGGGAAUAGUUUACAAUUUUUAUUCAUUUUUUGUAUGCUUAUAGGGUGGACAAAUUUGGAAUCAUUUGUAAUGUUUAAUGUUUAUAUUAAAAAACAAUUUCCUUAUACUCUAAAAAAAAAUUGUGAAAUGAUUGGUUAUUAAGUCAUUUAAAAUUUAUGUGCCUAUUCAUCAAAGUAUUUAAUUUAUUUUGAUUUAAGUUUUAUCAUUACUUUUGAAUGUUCAAAAAUAUACAACACUCUUCAAUUGACUCAAGAAUUUAUAAUAAUCUUAUUAUUUGUUAAAUUAUAUAUACUUAUCUUUUUUAUUGAUUAAUAUAAAAUGUAUAUUUUUUUCAAUAAAUAUUUCAUUAACUUAUAUGGACUUAUGCAUUGUCAUUAGGGAAAAAACUCAUUUUAUUAUGGAAAAUUGUCUUUUUGAAAAAGUUGAAAUAACCAUUCAUUUUUAAAGAAAAAAAAUAGUUACUCUUUUUAAUUUUAUAUUAAAACUUUUCAAAUUAUCUCAAUUCAAUAUAAAAAAAAAUCAAAUUUAUUGUUAAAAAAAGGCUUGCAAUUUAUUUAAAAAAAAUAUUAGAAAAGAUUUUAUUCUUAUUUAAAAAAAAAAAAAUAUAUUUUUCCCUUUCCAUUUUAGAAAAAGGAUUUGCAGUUUUUUAUUUUAGAAAAAUAUUUUUGCAGUUUUUUUUAUUGGAAAUAAAUACCUUAUAGUUUUUUUUUUCUCAAAAAGAACUUUAAAAAAAAGAAGACUUUUACAGUUUUUAUUUAAUAAAGGCUUGAUAGUUUCAUUCUAUUAAAAAAGGAGUUUAGAUGUUAUUUUAUUUGCAAACUUGGUGAUAAAGAACAAAUCAAAUGAAACCGAAAUAAAUAAAAAUAAAAAAAUACAGAAAGAGCCUCGUCCACCACCUCCUCUAAAAUCCUAGGGUCUGUGCUCUUUUAUAGGCCUUCAAGCUUGGUCUUCAUCUACCCUUCCACGUGGUGGAUAUAAGCUCUAGGCGAAAAGUAAGCAGAUGGAGGCAGUAAAGUUGGCCAAUAUACACAAGCCCAAACCAAACAAAGCCCAAACCCAACAGACAAAUUAAACUAGGCCCAAACUUAAAUAAACAAAUGUGAUGGACCAGAGCAAUAGUUGAAGCCUGAAAUAGUAUCCAAGAACCCAAUACCCAUAAACAUGAAUCAAUAAAUAAACACCCAAAUGAAAGCCCACGAGCCUUUUUGUUCCACCUGAUAUCUCCUACUUUUUUUCACAUUUGUGCCCCAAACUACAAGCCCUCUUACUUAUGAGUUAUUUUUCGUUCUUCCUUAUAUCUUUAUUUGAGUCAUAUAAUAAGAAAAAUGGUUUGCUUGAAAAUCAAUCUCAACCUCUAUCGAAUCCUCCAUGAUCAGGUCUAGAGAUAUUUCAAUAAUAUGUACAUCUAAUCUUCUUUAUUUGUUUUGGUAAUCAGCCAUGUAUUAGGUCCUUUUUUUGAAGGGUUAAUUUGGUAAGUUUGUAACGAUAAUUAGGUUGUAUAUUGUGUAUAUAUUUCUUACCUUGAUCAAUAGAACAAUUAUCUUAGAUUCUUAAAGCCUGUAUCGACUUUAUCAUAUCUCUCUUAUAACUUUUUUCUUUUCUGUUAAUAUUUUAAAUCUAUUCAAUCAUUGAAAAACCAUAUCAAAAUAUCCCCAUCAAAUCUAGAAUUACUUUGGUCUCCCGAUAAUGAGUAAAAAAUUGAUAAAUAAAGGCUAUUCUCAUUCAUUGAAUAGACAAAGAGUCAAGUUAGUCAUUCAAAAGAAAAGAGAAGAAUGAACAAACAACUUUACUCUCAACCAAAUUUUUUUAAGAAAAAUUUAACUCCUUUUCCCAAAAUUAAAUGGGACAAAUUAAAAACCUUUUUUUUUUUUUUUUUUCCAUUUUACCAUUUCUUAUUAUUUUCAGACAUUAAAAUGAAAUUUUAUUGUUUUAAAUUUAAACUUCAUUGUGAGCUUGUGUGACUCUUUUUAUUUAUCUCCUGACUUUAAACCUAUCAAUUAUAUCCAAAUGUUCUUAUUAAUCAACAAAUUUAUGAGUGUUUUAUUCUCAAUAAGAAAGGGUGAAAUGAACGUUAUUCUCGUUGAAUGAAAAGAUAAAGAGUGAAGUUAGUAGUUAAAAAAAAAAAAAAAAGCAACUCAAUCUUUUUUUUUUUUUUAAUUUAAUUCUUUCUCCCAAAAAGUAAAAAAAAAGAGGAAAAACAGGCCAAUCCCACUCUAUUACAUCAUUGUAAAGUCAUACCCAAAUGUCCCAUCACUAAGCAUUGAACUAAGUUACGCAUCAUUGAAAAAAAAAACACCACUAGUGAUACACAGACAAGUUUUCUCAACCCCCAUCCAAAAAGCAAAAAGCAAAAGAAAAAGAGUGGAUAAUCAACUUUCCUUGGUAACAGUGCCUAAUAUUUUCCUGGAAAUUCCCUUGGUAAUGGAGCCUUGUUUUUAGCAUGUUUGAUUUCCUGAACCCUCUCUUUGUGAAGUCGAAAAUGCUUUCAACCAAAUCUAGGCAUAACUACACCAUCUUAGAAUUACAAUAAGAUCAAUUGUUUUUCAAUAUAAUGACUGAAUUUAGGUUAGAAUUCAUUAUUAAAGAUUUCAUUAAUUAAAAAAUUUAAUGGAUAGGGAAGGAAAUUAUAAUAUGCAUCAAGCUCAAUUGUUUUUUAACAUAAUUUGGAAUAGAAUAUACAAGUGUGAGAAGACUAACCUUAAAAAUAUAUAUCACAAGCACUAUCGUAAGUUUCAUGUGGUUAAGUCUUAAUAAUUCCUUAAAUUUAGUUUAUAUAUGUUUUAUUGUGUUAUAAUUUAAGAGAUAGACAUUUUAUGGUUCCAUGCAUAUAUUUAAAUUAAAAUUUCAAAAAAUUAAAAUUAAAACAUAAAUAGAGAAAAUAUAUAUAUGAACUCCAUCACAAGUAUUAAAAAGGAUAUACUACCUCCAAAGUAGUGGGGUGAUUGGUCUUGUUCAUUGUGAUAGUUUUCGUAUAGUGAAUGUAUUAGUGUGUAUUAAUGAAUAAUAAACAUAAUCCAUAGAGAGUUGUGAUUGAAUGACUAUUGAUUUGUUAUAACUUCUCCAAUAUACUAUGUUGCAUAGAUUAUCAAUCUUAGGAGACUAUUGUACUAAAGUUUAGGUCAUUAGUGGCUUUAUCUUAUGGAUGAGAUCCAAAAUAAUUAUAUAUAUAUAGACAUCAUAAUACCCCAUGAGGUUGAAAUAAUAUAUUAUUUUGAAUUAUUAUAAACAUAUAUGAUUAUAAAUUUUAUGGUCAUUAUAAUUCUUUCAAUGGAAUUUGACAUAUGUCAUUUGUGGCUAAGAAUGAGUUAUUUGAUCAUAAUAUAGGUGGAUGGAAGACGCAAGAAUUUGAGAGAGAUUGAUAGCUACUACCUUAUUGAAUCAUGGACAUCAAUUUAUAAAGAACUUGUAUAUAAUGAAUAAUAAGUUAGUGACACGAAAAAUUAAUUAAUUAAGGUUAUUGGUGGUUUAAGCAAGUAAUAAUAGAUACUCUUAAUAGACACCAUAAUAUCUCAUGAGUUUGAGAUAAUAUAUCUCAUUGGGUGAUCUUAAACAUUUAUGAUUAUGAAAUUUAUGGUCAUUAUAUUUUUUUUCAAUUGAAUUUGAUAUAUAUCAUUUGCGGUUAAGGAUAUGUUGGUUGAUCAUAAUAUAGGCGGAUGGAAGACUCAAGAAUUGGAGAGAGAUUGAUAGCAUGUCUUCAAAUCAAAUGAUAAAAGAAAAAAAAUAAAGGGUUGAAAGAAAUUGUGGAUUACAAAUUUUAGUUUCAAAACAGCGGGAAUUGUAGAUGUACAAUAAUUGGGUGAGAUAAGACAAACAAUUGGACCACAUUUGCUCAAUCAUGCAUGAGAACAUUAUAUUAUAUUUGGAUCUUAUGUGCAUGGUGGAAUGAUAGGAAAGAAAAGAAAAGUUAAAUUAACAAGAAGACCGUUAUAGAAUUCAUUACAUCAAAGAAAUACUUGAUUGUAAUUUAUAUUACUUACCCGCUAGUAAUUUUUAGCUUAUUAGAUAUAGAGAUAAUUUUGUAAAGACUUAUAUGAUCAAAAGAGCUUAUAAGAGAUGUCUUAUUUACUUAAACCUUAUUGAAGUAAUCAAUUGUGGCAUUUUCAAUUGGUCAAACGGAGUUUUUUAACAACAUCAUGCGUGUCACAUAAUUCAAUUAAAAAAUUUAUUGAAAAAGCUUAAUUUGUCGUAAGAAUUAAUAGAAAUUUUUCUGAAUAACAAAUCAAAAAUUACAUUUUAAAAGAAUCCAAUAUUUCAUGAUUGAAGUAAUUUUGUUGAUAAAAAAAAUAUCAUUUGUGUUAUGAAAAAAGGAAUGCAAUUAAAAUUUGUAAAGCCUUAUAGGUGUUUGUUUUUUUUACUUAAUUCUAAAUAAAACUUUAAUACUUAAUAGUAUUAAGUAUUAGAUUAUUUAUUUUUUUAAUAUUUAAUUUCUUUUAAACAUUAAAAAGUAAAGAAAAAUUAAUAUGUUAUUUUUUUAUUUAAAAAAAGUUAAAUAUUUUAAUUUUUUCUAUUCAACGAAAAAUUUAUAAUAAGUCAUGAAAAAGUAGAAAAACAAAUAACCUAAAUUUUAAAAAUAAAUUGCUUUCAGUAAAAAGCCAACACUCUCUUAUAUUUGAAGAUUUUAGAAGACUAAAAAUGUUACUAAUUGGAGUUAUAAAUUAAUCAAGUUUAAGGGGUAAAUAAAAAUGUAAACUUGAAUUUAAGAAAUUUUCAAAAAUAGAUUUGAUUUAGUUUCUAAAAAUCAAUUAAUAUAUAUAUUGACAAGUAGAUUUUACAUUUUGUAUUUGAAUACUUGAGUCAUAAAUUUUUUUUUAAUAUUCUGUUAUUAGGAUUUUUUUUUUAUUAGAUAUGAAUAUGUAUAAAUAAAAGGAUGCUUAACAGUUUAGCAAGAGUGAUAGAAUAAUUUUGUUAUAAAUUUUCUCCUAUUAGUCAUCUCCCUUGGUAGAAUUAUCUGAAGUACUAGUACCGUAUAAUCCCAUGGACGACAUGUAAACUCUUGCCCACUGCACUUAAAAAAAGCGACACUAGUAUAAAACGAUAAAAAAGAGGAAAGUGACUUGGGACCACAGCUUUGUGGAGGCAUUCGAACCCUGUUCCCUUUGCUGUAGUAAUAUACGACGCAGAGGCGGUGGAUUAUGGUGUUGUGAAAGAUCUGAGAGAGGUAGAGACGGUUGUAGAGCUUAAGCACACCCAUGGAUCCAUCCACUUCCACCCAUGCUUUAGAAUUACAGAACCUUGACUCAGUUUCUAGUGCGAACCAGGAGGAUGUCACAUACAUGCCUCCUAAAAUUUACAGCGCUGCAGCACAAGGCUCCACUGAUAUUAUCCGCAGGACAAUGCGCAGAGCUGUCCAAUAUUUAACACCCAAUAAGAACACUAUCCUCCACAUUGCAGCCCAAUUCGGUCAACCGAGGUGCGUUGAAUGGAUCAUUCGACAUUACAGUGGGGAUUCAUCCCCACUGCAGUGGCCCAAUCUGAAAGGGGACUCCCCCCUCCACCUUGCGGCGAGAGAAGGGCAUCUAGAGGUCGUGAAGACUAUUAUUCGUGCUGCGAGAACAGUUUCCGAAAGAGAUAUUGAGAGUGGGAUUGGAGUGGAUAAGGCCAUGCUGAGGAUGACCAACAAUGAGCAUGACACAGCCUUGCAUGAGGCAGUCCGGUAUCAUCAUCAGGAGGUGGUGAAGUGGUUGAUCGAGGAAGAUCCCGAGUUUACAUAUGGUGCUAACUUUUCUGGUGGGACUCCUCUAUACAUGGCUGCUGAGAGAGGGUUUACAGACUUGGUGAAAGUAAUCAUAGAGAACACUAAUCGCGAUCGACUGGCUCACACUGGCCCCAUGGGUAGAACAGCUUUGCACGCAGCUGUGAUUUGCCGUGACCCAAGUAGGCAUAUUCUUUUCCUGAAUCUACCAUAAUUCCUAUGUGGUUUAUUCAUUAAUAUGACAGGUAUAACAUAUAUAGUGUUGAAUAACAAGUUUUAACCUAGCUAAACUAUGGGGUUACAAUUUCUUCAUAACUUCUAAUCUUUCUCAAAAAAUAUUUUGAUAUAUUUGUUUGAGUAUAUAUAUAUGCUUGGUGGUUGAUUGUUACAGCUGUUUAAAUGUUAUAUUCCAAAUAGUUGAGUUACUUUUUAACCUGACAUGCAUGAUUAAAUAUGGGAAAAUGGGGAAGACUAAAGGAAACGCGUUUCUUAAUUUCUUAUACUCUUCUAAUUUUUUUUCUUUCUUUUCAUUUUAUGUAUUUGUUGAUCAGUAAUGGUAAAAGAAAUUCUGAAAUGGAAGUCAGAUCUAACAGAAGAAGUGGAUGAAAAUGGGUGGUCUCCACUUCACUGCGCUGCAUACUUGGGUUAUGUUCCAAUAGCGAGGCAAUUGCUUCAUAAAUCUGAUAGGUCUGUAGUCUACCUAAGGGUCAAAAACGAUGAUAACAAGACAGCUCUUCAUAUUGCAGCCACCCAUGGAAACAUAUGGGUCAUGAAACUGUUGGUGUCACACUAUCCAGAUUGUUGUGAGCAAGUUGAUGUUAAUGGAAAUAAUGCUCUUCACUUAUUUAUGGUGCAAAGAAGAUUUUUGAUCAAAAGCUUGUUGAAUAUUCCUUGGAUGAAUGUGGGAGCACUUAUGAGUGAGAAGAAUGUUGAAGGACAAACACCUCUCCAUCUGCUUGCCCAUUCCCAGACGAGAUCUGAUUGGACUUUCAUAAAAGACAAGAAAGUAGAUAAGAUGGCACUUAACAGCCAAAACUUGACUGCUGUGGACGUAAUUUUACUGGCCGAGGAUUUAUUUGGACAAAAGGUAAGC